This 69116-nucleotide long non-coding RNA is filed under the name Ananas comosus (pineapple). RNAcentral describes it as "long non-coding RNA (ACOM_LNC025322)". Lineage: Eukaryota; Viridiplantae; Streptophyta; Magnoliopsida; Poales; Bromeliaceae. The record is from RNAcentral.
GCUCGCGUUCGACUCGUGUUCGGCUCGAUAUUCGGCUCGCUCGAGCUCGACUCGAAAUUAAAUGAGCCGAGCUUGAACAAAAUAAAAGGCUCGAAAUUUAUUUCAAGCCGAGCUUGAAUAUUACUCGGCUCGUUCGAAUUAGGCUCGAAAAGCUCGAAAAGCUCGAAAAUAUAUAUAUAUAGGCUGGGACUACUAUACUCUUAUAAGUAUAGACCCCUUUGUACUCAUAAAUUUUUAACCGUUGAUUGAUGAGAUGUGUGGUUAGGAUGAUGGUGGUCUCCACUUAGAAUGAUAGUGGUCCCCUAGGGUUGAGUGGGUAGUUGGUUAAAUAGUAUGAUCUAACGGAUGAAAAUGAUUAAUGGAAUAAAUCUAAGGGUCGAAAACUUAUGCCACCGUUUGGUUGGGGGUUAAGGGGUGGAAUAACCCCUUAACCCCCAAUUUAUACCCAAACACCACUCUUUUGGGGUGGGGUUAGUAAACCCCACCCCAAACCGGGUUAGUGAGGUUUACGAACCCCACUCCCCCUCCCAACUUUAACCCCGCACGCAUCCCGAGCCCUCACUUUUUUCUUCUUUAUCAAUCAUUAACCCCACUCCCCUCCCAAUUUUAACCCCGCACGCAUCCCGAGCUUUCACCUUUUUCUUCUUUAUCAAUCAUUAUCUUCUUAUCCCACCUACUCCAACCAAACACUUUUUUUCACUAUCUUAGACUAACUCCAACCUCCAACCAAACACAAAAAAAUUUUAACACCAUAUAACCCUGAACUUAAGCCUAUCCCUGGAAUAGCUACUUUUUCUUAACCCCGAACCAAACGGGGGCUAUGAUAUAUACAUAUAUAUAUACAUAUACAUAUAUAUGUAUAUACAUAUAUAUAUGUAUAUAUAUAUAUAUCUCAGACCAAUGAUAUAAAAAUACUCAUAACCGAGGAAAUAUGAGUAUUCAAAAGCUGGGAAUCUAAAUAAGGUAAUUAGUAAAAGUAGGCAAUCUAGUAUGAUAAAUUGGUUGAUGGGUUAAUUGGGAUCUCCUGGUGAAAGUAAAAUUCAUCCCUGGCGGUAGUAGGAUUGGUGUGUAGGGUAGUUAGUAUACUCAUAUUCCCCCAGAUAUGAGUAUUCUCAUAUCAUCGGAGUCGGAUACAUAUAUCUCUACACAUAUUCUCUGAUAUAUAUAUCUCAGGCCGAUGAUAUGAAAAUAUUCAUAACCGAGGAAAUAUGNUUAUAGUAGUAGUGAUCAGCAGGAGAGUAGUGGCGCGAAUCUUGUCCUGCUCAGCGGGUGGUCCAUUUUAUUUUAUUUGAAAAAAUUAUAACACUAAUAAUCUCAUAAUAUUGAAUAAUAUAAAAGCAAGUAAGAGACUUAUAUAGUUUAUUUGUGACUUGUAACUAUUAAAUUAGUAAAUAAAUUUUAUUAUGUCAGGCUUUUUAUUUGAAUAAUUAUUUAAUACUUUUUAUUUGAAUAAUUAUUAUUUAAUACUUUAAAUUUAUUUUUUAAUAAAUUUAGGUUGGCUAUGGGUAACGUGUUGGGACCGCAAGAAGCUUUUGGAAACAAAGAAUUGUCCGAGGAUAGGUAGAGAAUCCGGCAAAUGCAAGUAGGGCUGGCAAACGAGCGAGCCGGCUCGCGUUCGACUCGUGUUCGGCUCGAUAUUUGGCUCGCUCGAGCUCGGCUCGUUUCCACCCCUAAANUAAGCUCGCUCGAGCUCGGCUCGUUUCCACCCCUAAAUGCAAGUGGGAGAGAGAGAGACUAGAGAGAUAACAAAUUUUUUUUUUUUUUUUUAAAAAAAUCUAUGAUAUUGAUAGACCUCUCUUUCAUGCGUUUUCACGUGGAUCCGCCAAGGCGCAAUUUCCAAAUGUUCAUGUCAUAGAUCUCGACGUGGAGAUGCAUACAUAUUAAUAUUGAAGAAUAAUGCUUUGGCCCACAAUUUGUAUUCCACUACAUUAUUAAUAUAUAUAUAAACAUAAACUAGUACUCACAGGUAUUAGUGUAAAACGGGCCGGGUAGCACGUCGGCCGCCUGGCCCGUCACGACCUAGCAUGGCACGGCUGCUGUCGCAUUCGCGCCGGGCCGGUUCGACCCGGCUUUUCGGGCUGUGCUGGGCUGAACAUUCGUGGUCCAAAGGCCAAGCACGGUACGGACCAGUGUCAGGCCUGGACAUGAUGGACAGGAAGGUGGGCCGGGUGGCCUGCAUGGUGUGGGCCGUUUCUACUGGGCCGGCGAGGCCCAGGUAUUAAUAAGGGGAAUUAGGCCUGUAGGCCUUUUAGGCCUGCCUUAGACAGGCCUAUUUGGCCAGGCUUUAUUAAGCCUAUACAAAUCUUAGGCCGGGCUCCUAGGAGCCUAGGAACCAGGCCUUAACCCAAGUCAAAAGAUCUGCUAAGUCCAAGGGUUUGCGAGACCCUUGGAUGGUUGCCCAACAGCUGUUGAGCCGUUGAAAUUUUUUUUUUUGAAAAAAAAAAAAUACUUUUUUGGCUUUUGAAAGAAUAAAAAAAUAAAAAAAGACAUCUUUUUGGUUAAAAUGACUGAAAUGGCAACACUAACAUUUAAAAAUUGACCGUUAGAGAGGGCAUUUUGGACAAACACUAUUUUUUUAUAUUUAAAAAAAUUAAUUUUUUUACAUCUAUAAAUACUCUUAUAAAUCUCCAAAUUCAUCACAACAAACAUGCUUCAUUCAUUUUCUUCUACAAACACUAAUUCUCUCUCAAACUUUCAAACGACCACUAAUUCUUUCUCUAAUGUAAUGAAGAAAAAAUUAUGUUCGAUUUUUUUUUUUUUUCCUAUUGUUUACUAGCUGGCUGUGUAAACCAUGCCACCUUAUUUUCUUAAUAUAUAUUUUUAAUUUUUAAUUUUUUUAACUUUCCUCAAAUGUAACUAUGUAAUAUGAUUAAUUCAAAAUCUAUAUAUUUUUCGCCAUUACUUUUUUUGAGAAUAUCAAAUUCUUUUCAAAUAAUAAAAAAAUAUGAAAAAAAUAAUAUCAAUUUUAUAUUAAAGUUGGUUAUUAGAUCAAAGAGAUGGAAGUUAAAAAAUUUAUAUCAAAAAUCUAUAUAAUUGANUGGAUCAAACAAAUGUAAAUUAAAAUAUUUAUAUUAAAAAUCUAUAAAAGUGAAAGUGAAAAUUAUUUAUCUCUAAGUUCUAAAUUUUAUAUAAUAUUAAAAAUUUAAAUUUAUUGUUAGUAUUAACUUAUAAUUUAAAAAUUAGUUGUCUCUAUUUCUAAAAAAAUAUUUUUUUUUAAAAAAAAUAUAAAAGAGAUAGUUGGGAAGGAAUUUAAAAAAACUUUUUACUAGACUAGCAUGAAGCCCGGCCCGGCCUGGCCCGGCCUGGCCUGUGCCGGGUGGGCCUGGGAGCCGGGCCGGGCCUUCUUCUCUGAGAAAAUAUGCCAGCACGACCCAAUCCGAUUUUAUAACCGGGUCAGGCCCGGCCGACCCUUGACCUGAAUCGGCCCGAGUAAUAUGGGCCAUGACAGCUCAACGAGGCCCACAUUACACCCCUACCCAUAGGUAGGGGGUUUAAAAUUUCAAUUUCUCAUAAUACAAAUUUUACUAUAUUAUUGAUGUGUUAUUAUUUUUACAUAAAAAAUAUAAAAUAUAAAAUUAAUCAUAAUUUUUAGAAUUUAAUUAUUAUGUUUAAGAGUCACGAACUCACCACAUCAACAAUAGCACGGGAACCAUAAUGUGGAAACUCCACUGAUUUAAGCAAAUAUAACUGUGAACCCCUCCGUACGGUAGUCACUUCCAGAAACAAGGGGUUGAUUGAAGCGAACUUCUUACUGAGCCCCUCUAACAAAUGAAAAUAAUGCUUUACAUCCGAGCAAACAGUGGAACGCCAUUCAUUUUUGGCUAUUCUAUUUAGGAAAAACUGGUACCUUCUUUAAAUGUAAUUGUAGUUAUAAUUAACUCGAUCACCGUCACAGCAAUACGAGUGUAAUUGUUCUAUCAAUACAGCAUUAUUUUCAUUUGUUCAGAGAAAUGCAAAAGGCUCAAUCACAUUUGCGGCCAAGUUGCACAUAGAUAAAGCUAUAGCUUCGAUUGUAAUCUCGAGAACGCGACUUGUACCAAAUCCUUCCUCAAUGUCUUCCCUGAAGCAUUCUUAGGUAUUGAUUCAACGAAAAUGGCACGGCGAAUCUUUUUGUAUGGUGCAACCUGCAACAUUAUGAGGAAGAUAUUGGAUCUUGCGCCUCGAGCUCUUGUGAGGAGGAGCUUAACUGAAUUAAGUUGGACUACACAUCAAAUAUGAAUAUACAUAAACGACAGGUAUUCAUAUACCUGUUGAGAUACAAAUUCCGUGACUUGUGCCUCAUUCAGCGUGCUGUUGGGUUGUCUUACAACAAAGGCUAUGGGGACUUGACCUGCAUUUUCAUCCGGAUAUCUGCCAAAAAAAGCAAUUAGAGAACUUGGUACUUGUUUGGCUCUUUUCUAAAAUUUUGUUUUGGUUUUUCUUUAAGUUCUGUAUCUGUAAAAGCAUCUGAUAUGAGACUAUUUGGUUUUCUUUUCUUUUUCUUUUUUUUGAGAGAGAAAGAUAGCAUGCUAUCCGUUUCGUUUAUUUUAUUUAGAAAUAAACUUAGCUGAAAAUGUGAAUCAACUAGGAUUCGAACUUAGAUCUCGGGUACCAACCAUCAAGCCCUUUUGCCAUUUGCACUAGGGACGGUCGGUCUAUUUGGUUUUCUUAUUGUUUCUUUAAUUUGAAACCCAUCUCACAAUAAAAAAGAAAAAAAAAUAGUACUAUACAUGUUUUUGUCUAUUUGUUGUCAAAAUAAAAACACGUAUAUAUAGAGCAUGUAGACAAUCACACAAAUAGAGGGGGAAAAAAAGAAAAUUGUAAAUAAUGAUAAACUUGCAUUUAAGGAUUGGUGGGUGAACCUACAAUUUAUCUUUAAUUAAAAAGCUUGUCUAUUUUUUUUGCCUAGUGUACUCACGGAAUAACUGCAGCCUCAGUGAUUUCUGGGUGAGUUUGAAGUAAGUGCUCGAGUUCUGCAGGGGGAACCUGCACCAAAGUAAUAUCUCAAGAAUAUACGACAAAAUUUAAAUGCAAAGCAAAAUAUUCCAUGAACUAUGCUUGAAUCAAUAGAUUAGUAGGACUAAGAAAAUCAACUGAUCUACUUAGCAUAGCAGUUUCCCAGAUCUGUAAUCAAAAGUUAGCAUAUAGCCACUUGAGAACUUGUAAUUAAUGGUAAGUAAUACAGUAGGCGCAUUUUAUGCAUUGCAGAUACAUCCUUUCAAGAUCAUAGGUGAUUUAGCAUUCUUAAAAGGUUGUUCUAGUCAUCUGAUCAACAAAUUCAGAAUAUUAUACGAGCUCCUGAAAUAAGCCCUGCAGUCGAUAAGCCUCAUGAUGGAAAUACAGAACCAGUUCUAAUUUACAGGUCAUAAGCAGUCAACGAACCUCAUGUAAAGCUUAAUCAUCUAGUAAACUAGAAAACCUUGAAACUGGGUUAUAUAGCAUCAGUUUGGUACGUGAUGAUGUAUGCAUAAUUGGCGUGAUUUACGAAUCAAAUGCACAAAAAGCUGAUGAUUUUGUAUCAGUUUGGUUUAUCACACGUUUCAUAACAAGGAAGAUUCAAGCAGUAGUUACCUGGUAUCCCUUAUAUUUUAUCAACUCUUUUAACCUAUCAAGAAUGAAGAGGAAUCCAUCGUCAUCGAUGUAGCAGAGGUCCCCAGUUUUGAACCAUCCUUCGGAGUUCAGAAUUUCAGAGGUUGAUCUCUCGUCACCAAUGUAACCUACACUAAUGUAAUAAAUAGAAAUGACUUCAGCAUAAUAUUUAUCAAGCGCCACAAAUAUGUAGAGAUAGAGCUAGUGGGUCAGUUUAUGACAGUUCAAAGUAAAAUCCCCAAUUUGACAGACUAAAAUAACUUUUUCUUCUUUUUUUUACCUACACUAAUGUAAUAAAUAGAAAUGACUUCAGCAUAAUAUUUAUCAAGCGCCACAAAUAUGUAGAGAUAGAGCUAGUGGGUCAGUUUAUGACAGUUCAAAGUAAAAUCCCCAAUUUGACAGACUAAAAUAACUUUUUCUUUUUUUUUUUUUUUGAGAGAUAGGUAGCACGCUAGCCGUUUCGUUUAUUUUAUUUAGAAAUAAACUUAGCUAAAAAUGUGAAUCAACUAGGAUUCGACCUUGGGUCUGGAGUACCAACCACCAAACCCUUUGCCAAUUGCUCUACGGACGGUCGGUCAGACUAAAAUAACUUAAAUAAAAAAUAGUUCACAGCAGGUAUCAACUAAAUUAAUAAGAUUCGGGGAGUUUCCAUACGCUUUUACCAAAGUGACUAAACACUCUAAACUUGACUCAACAGCUGAAUUGUAUCUACGUCAAUACAAAAUUAAACAUACACACACACUAAAAUGGAAGUAAAGUUGCUUACCCUGCAUAAUUAAUGGUCCUCGAAUCCAAAGCUCCCCUCGAGCGCCUGGAGGCAAAGCAAUUCCAGUGCCCGAAUCGACAAUCUUUGCUUCGCAGCCCCACACGAGACGUCCGACAGAACCGAUACGUUGGCUUGCUUCCUCACCAUGAAACCGGAAAACACCGGUCGUUGUCUCGGUCAAUCCGUAUCCCUUCACACCCACUAGAAUUUAUCACUAUAAAGACUUAGAAUGAAAGUAAAAUCCAACCCGCGCUUUUGGUUUGGUUCGGCGGUUGCACAUGCUUUUUCGCACAGCUCUAGUUACUCUGGGAUGUUUGGCUCAGCCUAUUCGACUAGAAUAAUCAAACAGAGCUAGAAAAAGGAGUAGGACCGAUGGAUUACUCGUACAUAUGCCUAAUCCCGAAAAAGGAGGGAGCAAAGGGCGCCAACGACUUUAGACCUAUUAGUCUUAUUAACGGAGCACAGAAGAUCACUUCCAAAGUUCUCACUAAUAGGCUUGAGGGGGUGCUAAAAGAUAUUAUAUCACCUACUCAAACAGCAUUCCUAAAAGGUAGAUCGAUUCUGGACUCCUUCGUAACAGCAAGUGAGGUUGUUAAUUGGUGCUAUAAAACGCAGGGGGAAUGUGUAGGCAUAAAAGCUGACUUUGAGAAGGCUUACGACAGAGUAUGCUGGGGAUUUCUCCGAAAAAUCAUGAUAUGGCUGGGGGCAAAUCAGCGUUCGUGCGGUUGGAUUGACCAAUGUAUUGCCAACGCCAAAAUUGCUAUCCUUGUUAAUGGGGUUCCAUCCAAGUGGAUAAAAACCAAAAGAGGACUACGUCAAGGGGACCCGCUCUCUCCGUGCCUCUUUAUUCUGGUUGCGGAAGGUUUAGCGAGAUUGAUAAAUAAAGCGGUCAAAAGUCACUUGAUAAGAGGAGUGGGACCUAACAGCGAAUCUAAGGUUGCGUUUAUCCAGUAUGCUGAUGAUACAGUAUUCUUUUGCGAAGCACACAGCAAACAAGUACGGAACCUACUCUUUGUCUGGCAUAUUUUCGAGCGGUCAUCGGGGUUAAAGAUCAACAGGAGUAAGUCAGAGCUUUUUUAUUUAGGCAGGACGGCCCACCGGGGAGAGCGGUUUGCUCAGAUUUUAGGUUGUAAAUUGAGUUCUUUCCCGAUACGAUACCUUGGACUUCCCCUCAAGAAUAGUCGACUCAACAAAGCGGACUGGUGGCCUAUCAUUAGUAGAAUCGAGAAAAGGAUUGAAGGAUGGCAAGCAAACCUUUUGUCGGUCGGUGGAAGAUUGACACUAGUAAAUUCUGUCCUCUCAAAUCUAACUAUGUAUUUUUUUCUCGGUGUUGAAAGCGCCGAAAUGGGUCAUAAAGCGCAUAGAAGCACUUAGGAGGGCCUUCUUUUGGAAAGGAAGGAGCAGUGUGUCUGGCGGACAUUGUUUAGUGAAUUGGAAAACGGUUUGUCGAAGCAAAAAAGAGGGGGGCCUAGGAGUCAUGGCCCUUGAGACCAUGAACAUAGCCUUAUUAGCAAAGUGGCGGUGGAGAAUGUUAUCCGAUAACGGCUCGCAAUUGGGCAAUUUUAUUCGGAGUGCCUACUAUGUUAGAAGAACACCCCUUAGGGAAGGGGGUCUCUUUUCGACCUUCUUCCCAAUGGUGGCAGAGUGUGCUAAAGACAAGGGACAUCUUCAGGUGUGGUUUAUCUUUUACGAUAGGGGACGGCAACAAUGUCGGUUUCUGGACAGAUAAAUGGAUUGGUGAAAUGCCCCUGCAGUCACUCUUCCCUCGUAUCUUUAACGACAUAACAUCGCGAAUCCUUAAGGUCAGACAGUGCUUCGGGAGAAAUGGUUGGAGGUGGCACAAGAUUCUGCAAGGUUUCGCUCCGGAAUCUCAAAAUGAUAGUGCAUCAUUACUGGAGUUGAGGGAACUAGUAGAUACCCUCCUGUUGACGGAUAACAGAGACGUAGCCAGAUGGAGAUGGACUGCAACAGAAAUUUUCACAGUUAAAUCUCUGUAUACUUUCUUGCAGGAUGGCAGCGGACAUGAACGAAGGUUCGUUCAAUUGUGGAAGAUCAAAACGCCUCUGAAAGUUAAAAUCUUCGGGUGGCUAGUACUAAAGCAUAGGGUACUAACGAGAGAUAAUAUGGCCAUGAGGGGAUGGUCUGGAGAGUUGAGCUGAUCGUUCUGUUCAGAAGAUCCAGAGACAGUUGACCAUCUGUUUGCUGCAUGCAGUUUCUCACGAGACUUGUUCGGGUGCUUCAUGCCCAAUAAGCGCUUCGUCAAUACGUGUGCUUCAACCGACUUGAUCUGGAACACUUAUAGCGCUACGUGGGGUAAUGUACGGAGAAGGGAUCUAUCGACCAUUAUUACCGUGUGGUGGGCUGUGUGGUGGGAUAUUUGGUUGGAACGGAACAGGAGAAUAUUCGAAGAUAAGAAAACUCCACUGAGGCAACUAGUGUUGGACGUUCGAUCUUUUAGAAGGGUUUGGGAUCUACAUUGCAUCUAGUUUUUUCUUUUUUUUUUCUUUUUUUUUUCUUUUUUCCCUCCGGAAGUCUAGCUGCUUCAUCUAUGCUUAAUUCACCUCCCUAUUAAAUGAAGCGGUAGCAUGCUAUCUUUCUCUCACAGAAANGUUUAAAAAUAAAAAACUAUUACCUCCUCAACUAGUGAGGAUAUUUUGAAAUUGGCCCAUUACUCUUUUUUUCUUUACUUGAUUUUUUUUCGAAAUGAAAUAAUUUUAGUCGAUUAAAUCCAUAAAUAAUUUAUUUCGGUGCAACUAAAUUUAGAAAUUUUAUUGCAAAUAAUAUUGAAACAAAGUCACUAGAUUUAAUGACAAUUGUUUAAAGUCAAAAAAAUUAGAAGCUAAGAAAAUACAACUAAUAAAAGUAAAAAAAAAAAAAAAAAAAAAAAAAAAAGGGGCUAGAAUUUCCAAAUUUGAAGGAAAACAGAAUAAGACAACAGUAGUAACCUGGGUGAGGCGUGCAUUGGGAAAGCUCGCCAAGAACCGCCGGAUCAAAUCGGUCCCGAUCGGCGCCCCGCUGCAGGUCACCACGGCCAGCGAGCUCACGUCGCCCACCGAUGCCGCGCCCGCGCACCCAGCCUCUCGAAAUUUCACCAGCGCCAGCACGGCCGGCGGCGCCAAUGCGAGAUGCGUCAGCCGGAAGCGCGCGACGGCCUUCAGCGUCCGCUUGGCGUCGAACCUCUCCGUCUGAAUCACCGCCGUCUCCCCGACCGCCGCCGCCUUGAGGCAGAAAGCGAAGCCGUAGGCGUGGAAGAGCGGGACCGUCAGCAGCAUUCUAGCCGCCGGUGCAGCAGCAGCAGCCGACGCGGCCGCUGCCAGCGGCGCCGUGGCCGCUAUCAGGUUGCGGUGGGUGAGCAAAACGCCCUUCACCCGCCCCGUCGUCCCCGAGGAGUAGAGGAUCGCCGCGGAGUCCGAUUGGCGGAUCACAACGGCCUCCACUGUGGGAUAAGAUUCGGAGAUUUGCAAGAAGGAUCGGAAUCGGGGGGAGUCGAGGAGGAUGGUGGGGAGGUUGGACGGUAGCUUGUGGGCGGUGGAGGAGGUGCCAUUGGCGGCGUCGAUGAGAGCGGGGUGGGAGGGGAGGGGGGAAGAAGGGAGGAAGGAGAAGGCGAAGGAGGGGAAGGAGAGGGGGAGGGAAGGUGGAGGGAGGGGGACGGCGGGGCGGAGGCUGUGGAAGGUCGUCGUCGCCGCGCAGAAGCCGCUGCGAGGGUCGACGUCCGGCGGAGACUGUGGUGGUGGUGGUGGUGGUGCUUCGGCGGCCAUUGAUGGAGUUGAGCUUGAUUACGACGCAGAGGAUCAACGUCGACGGUGAAUUAUAGUAGUAGUGAUCAGCAGGAGAAUAGUGGCGCGAAUCUUGUCCUGCUCAGCGGGUGGUCCAUUUUAUUUUAUUUGAAAAAAUUAUAACACUAAUAAUCUCAUAAUAUUGAAUAAUAUAAAAGCAAGUAAGAGACUUAUAUAGUUUAUUUGUGACUUGUAACUAUUAAAUUAGUAAAUAAAUUUUAUUAUGUCAGGCUUUUUAUUUGAAUAAUUAUUUAAUACUUUUUAUUUGAAUAANGGGGAGAGGAUGAAGGCGACGUCGCCUUUGGACACGGCGCCGGAGGAGCGGAGCGCGGCGGCGAGGGAGCGGAUUUGAGAGAGCAGCUCCGGGUAGGAGAUGGCGUCGCCAUUGGCGGCGUCGAUGAGAGCGGGGUGGGAGGGGAGGGGGGAAGAAGGGAGGAAGGAGAAGGCGAAGGAGGGGAAGGAGAGGGGGAGGGAAGGGGGAGGGAGGGGGACGGUGGGGCGGAGGCUGUGGAAGGUCCUCGUCGCUGCGCAGAAGCCGCUGCGUGGGUCGACGUCCGGCGGAGACUGCGGUGGUGGUGCUGCUUCGGCCGCCAUGGGAGAGAAGAAUCAGACCAGCGGGGGGAUUCGCGGUUUCCGUACGACUGACGGGGCAAGGCAAAUUUUUAAAUACGUUGUUUUGCGCAUUUUUGUCACUUUAGUAUUUUAUAAUUUAAAAUAUAUUAAUUUAAUAUUUUAAAAUUUUUUUCGUGAGUCUUUCGUUAAUUUUUUAUUAAAUUAUAUAUCAAAAAUUUCAGAUCAUCCAUCUUUAAUUUAUCAAAUAUUCACUUCAAUAUCUUUACUUUUAGGGUGCGUUUGGUUCUCGCUAUCUUUUAAAGAUUCCUAGUAAUCCAAUGGAAAUAAAAAUAUAUGACGGUGUUUGGCUAAACGCACUAAGUAAUCUAGUUGGUAAUAUUGGAUUCACUUAGGAAUAAGAUUCACCCCAAAGUACUAAUCUCAUUCCCUUGAGGGAGGGUGGGUAUCCUCAUAUUAAUGGAUUGAGAUAAUCAUAAUAUGUCUAAUCUCUUUCUUUCUUUCUACCCGCCGGCUAAUUGAUAUUAUUUUUCUUUACACUCUAACCUUAUAUCUCUCUCUAAACUUAUUUUUCUCUCUAAAAUUCAACUUUUUUUUCUCUCUCUAAACUAAGCUUUCUCUCUCUCUUUUUCUAAAAUUUCAACUCUCUCACUCCCUCUAAUUUCGACUAUAUUUUUCUUUCUAUUUUUUUAAUUAUGCUCUCUCUCUCUAACUUAUACUCUCUCUCCCUUUUUUCUAAAAAGAUGUUGAAACUUUUGGUAACAUUAUCUAAAAUUAAUUAAAUAAAUAAAUUAAUUAAUUGUAUAUUUUUUGCAAUAUAAAAUAACAUGGCUAAUUAAUAUUACCGUGCGAACCAAACACAGGAAUUCUACAUUUUUAGUAAUAGAAUGAAUAGGAAUAAGAUUCUCAGAUAUCUUUUAUUCCUAGUAAUCUUUCAUAAUGCGAACCAAACGCACCCUUAAUUUUAUCACUAAUUUAACAAAAUAAAUUAAUAAAGUAAAAAAAUUUGAAACAAUAUAAGUGGUAUUUGGAGUUUUUCGAGGAACAAAGACCGCGGGUAUUUGAGCAGCAUGUGCGUGAUGAACGGGCAGCACGGAUUUCCUACAACCUGGGUUCUACGUUUUUUGCUGCUACCAAGGUACUUGGGAUUCUUCCAUGUUAGUCAUCCAAUAUGUCAAAAUAUUAUUUUUACUAUUCAAUAUUUGUUUUUUGUACGUCUACUAUAAUUUGAUUUUUAAAUUUAAAUAUAUUAUUUAUUUUUAUAUAUUUUAUUACGAUAUACACCGAAUUCAAAAUUUUAAAUCAAGUAGUGUUAACUGAUUCAAAUCAAAUAAAUUCAAAUUUUGGAUAGUUGGAAAUUUUGAAAAGUUAGAUAUAUGAUGCAAAAUAGUUCAUCGUGUAGAUAAAUUCGGUAUGUUUUGAUCUAUUUUAUUUGUUGCUACUUAGUUAGCAGCCCUUUUUUUUUUGUUUGCCACUGAAAACUGUCUGAUACUAUUAGAUUUUUAAAAAAAAGAAGUUAGGAAUGAAACAAUAAUCCUUUUGUUUUGUUUUGUUUUUUAUUAAACAGGGGUAUACCAAAAAGUAUAAUUUGAUAUUUCCAUUUUCAUAUUUAUGGUCUUUGCCAUACUACAAUAUGGCUUUGGAUGGCUUCGGAAGCUAAGUAAUCCAAUGGGAAACUUAGGCACUGAAGCAAAACGGAAAUUAACAUCAAUAUAAAUGUAGAAAUUAUGUAUCAAGAUAGUAAUGUAUACUUCACAAUUCUCAUUAAUCACCACACCAACCAUACAAGUCAUAGUCUAGAAACAGAGCCACAUAUUUGGUUUAUAAUUUCCCUUCUUAGUAUCUUCCCAGAUGGCGAUUUUGGUAUUCUGUCAACAAACAGAACCUUGCGUAUCUUCUUAUACGGCGCGACCUGUUAAAAAAAAUUAAAUGAAAACAUUCACUUCAUAUAUGUUGUGUGAUAAUCCAUAAUCUUGCUCGAAAUCUCUUCUUCCACAAAAUAUUAAUAUUUGAAAAAAUUUGGAGCGAAAUAUACCUGCUGAGCAACAUAAUCCAUUACUUCGGUUUCGCUGAUAUCGCAUCCUGGUUGUCUCACCACAAGUGCCACAGGUAUUUGACCAGCUUCUUCAUGAGGAUACCUAAAGCAAUGCGAAAAUACGAUGAUCGUAAGUAAGCAUACAACUGUUCUUGACAAAAUUUUUGUGCGUAUAAAAGUUUAUUUUUCACUUUAUUCAACUUCUGAUUACAGAGUUUAGAAACUCACGGUAUCACGGCCGCGUCGAGGAUCUUCGGAGAAGAUUGGAGCACGUGCUCCAACUCUGCAGGUGGAACCUGUGAUAGCAACCAAAUAAUGCCCAGUGAAACUAAAUUAUGUUAUCCAAAGAUAUUAAAGAAAAGAAGUGUUCUUUUUUGUUACUACUGAGCAAAAACUUUUCAUAGAGAUAAGAACAAGGACCUGGUACGCCUUGUAUUUGAUUAGCUCUUUAAGCCUAUCAACUACAUGAACAAAUCCAUCUUGAUCAAUGUAACAAAGAUCGCCCGUCUUCAACCACCCUUCGCUAUCAAAGGCUGAAGCAUUCGCUUCGUCGUCCCCGACGUAACCUAAGAAAAUAGAAUACGUAUGUAAUUCGGAUCAAAUGAAUAUCAACUCUUCAACCUAAUUUGCGUGUGUUCUCUUGUACUAUUUUUGCUUCAGUACUAAUAAUAAAACAAGUAAACUCAACAUCUGAAAUGUUACAAAGAAAUGAUUACUUCUAAAAUUUUCGCAUAAUUUCUGUAUAUUGAUCCAACACUUUUCGACUUAUAACACCGUCUCCGAAUCUAAUCCUACAUGCCUAACAAGAACAUUUAUCUCAUGAAUAAGGCAAAAAAAAAAUAGUAAGAAGGAAAAAUAAGAAAAAAGAGGUGUUACUUUUCUUCUUCUUUUUUUGAGAGAGAGAGAGAUAGGUAGCAUGCUAGCUACUUCGUUUAUUUCAUUUAGAAAUAAACUUAGCUAGAAAUAUAAAUCAACUAAGAUUCGAGCUUGGGACCUCGAACUAGCAUGUUAUAUUUUUUAUAUUACCUUUCAUGAGAGCCGGGCCUCGGACCCAAAGCUCUCCUUUUUGGCCAACUGACAGUAUAUUACCAGUGACAUGGUCUACGAUUUUCACUUCGACGUUCUGCGCAAGGCGACCGGCGGAUCUCAGAUGACAGCAUUCUUCGGGGUUGAUCAUCCUCGAUAUACCUCCGGCCUCUGUCGCACCAUAUCCCUAGCGCCCAAAAUAAAAAAAUGUAGGAGUCUGGAUAAGACAAAAUCAGCUUUACAAUAAGAUAAGAAAAUAGAAGCUGCAAUUUGAACUGUUUUUAGUGUCCCUAGCUUGGCACGAGGACACUGGAGGGACUCGAAUUGAAAAAGAAAUGUCAUGGGUUCAUCAAAUAGCACUAAAAUUACUAAAUUUUGAGUAUUCCAUUUCUAUCUUCAAAAUUAGUAACCAAAGAAGAUUUACUAAAUAAACCUUUCAACAGUAUAAAAUAGCUCUAUUUAAACAGUAUCAGGUCGGGACAAAAGAUGUCAUGUCAUUCAUUACAUGUCUAACACCACCCAACUUUUUCAAAAAAAAAAAAACAGUUGCAGUCAAAACAUAGUUGGCACCUGCCCAUCUUCUUCAUGCAACUACUAUUUUUUGAAAACUGCUUACUAAUAUGUGUGACUUGUUGAAAGGAGCUUUCGCUAUCCUUUUUCUUUUUUUUCCAUUUUGUUAUGCAAAGACAAAAUACCAGUGUUUACAAAUAGUGGCAAUCUCAAUUAUUAAUGCACACUGGGCCUCCUCAACUUAUUUGCUUGCUAAGCUGUGCACUGAUGUAUUGCUAAUCAAAGGGAGUUGCUGCGGAUAACUGUUUAUGAUAAAAAUUUGAUUAAACUCUCUCGAUGCGAAACUCAAAUAAUCGGUAGUAGAGCGACUACCGAAUUUUCAGCGAUUGAUGCCAGAGCAAGUUACAAAUCCUGAUCUCCAAAAAAAAAGAUUUCUACAUACUAUUCAUGUGUAGAUAAAUAUAUAAUAUUUUAAAUUUUACGUGCACAAAUUAAUUAAGAACUUUUAAAUUAUCAUUAUUUAAUGACUGGUAUAAUUUUUUUUUUUUAUAAAAAAGUUCUUUUUAGAUGUUUUUGAAAAAUUAUUUCUCUCUACUAAACUCUCAUGCUCAAACCAUAAAUGAAGUUUUGCUAUCAAUUUUCCUUUUCAAUCAAAUGGUUUAUUUAUGAAUUUUUAUUUAUUUUGAAAGGUAUACUAAUCCAUUAGUCACGGGGAUGGGAAAGAGUCACGGUAACACAAUCAAAGCAAUUGAUUAUGCAAAUCAAACAAUAGGAAUUUAUUUUUAAAAUUAAAGGAAGAACUCCUUAAUUGCCAUCGGAAUGCUAAAAGUGGUGUGACUUUUUUUGCUAUGAAAUUAAAAACUAAGCAAUCAUGUGAGACUUGCUUUUAUUAUCAAAUUAUAAAUGACUCUUUGAUGUGCCCCCACUCCCAACCCUAACUCUAUUAAAAAAAAAGUCAUAGGAGUUUCUGUAGCGGUUCUGUAAAGAAAAUUAAUAUUAAAAAAAAAUAAUUUUGAUAUUGACAGAUAGAAAACGUCGUAUUUAUUCAUGAUUUGAAUAUUUUUUUUUUUUACUCCAGCAAUAUUAAGAAUAAUUUUGGCAACAUUAAUUCUCUUCCGUAAAAAAAAAAAAAAACUUUUACCAAGGGUUUUGUUUAACUUUUCUUAUCACAUUUUUGUUCUGUUUGGUGUAAAAAAAUUAAUUUGGUAAAAAAGAACUUUUUUCAUAAUAAAUUUGUAAUAGAAUUAUAUUCUUACCCAGUUUGAUAAUUAAUGUACUGUUCCUACUCAUCUUAAAUUGUACGUAUAUGUAAAUCAAUUGGGUUGACCAUCACUGUCUCACAUCCAUAUUAUGCAGGAUUUUGUGAACAACUCCUGUUGGAUGCGUAUUGCUACAGGUUCCUUAAUAAAAUGUUAUCUAUGGCUUAAUAUAUAUUGUUAUUAUAUUAAUAAUAAUAUAUUCGCAUCAAUAAAUAAUUAAUGUAGACUAUAUGCCCCAUACCAAUAUAUAUCAUUAUCAAUCUUUAAAAUUAAUUUUUUUGGGAGAUUCAAAAUGUAUUUCUAGUCAGAGCAUGCCAGCACAUUAAUCCCGUUGCAGCAGCAGUACAACGUAAAUAGCACUGCUGACGUGUAGCGUACCUGCUGCAGCUCCACGCGUGGGAAGCGUGAUUGGAACCGCCGGGCCGCCGCCACGUGCAGCGGCGCCCCGCCGCACACGACUCGCCGGAGCGCCGGCAGGCCGUAGCGCGACGCCUCCGCCGUCAUCACCACCGUCGUCUCCGCCAGCGCCACCCCCUUCAGCGCGAAGAAGAACCCCAGGGAGUGGAACAUCGGCGCCCCCAGCAGGGUCACCUGCUGCACUAAAAUAUAAAAAUAUUAAAACACUGUUCGUUCGUUGAGAUAUUGUAUCAUAUGAUAUAACACUCGGUUAUUUAAUACUGUAGUAUCAGAGCAGAAGGUUUCUGAAAACUGGUAAUUGACGACCUGCGGUCCGUCGACAGGGCGCAGCGCGUGGAAUCCGGCGGCCAUGGCGAUGAAGCUGCGGUGCGGCAGCGCCGCCGCCUUCACCUGCCCCGUGGUGCCGGACGAGUACUGGAUGGCCGCCGUGUCCGACUGCAUGAUCUCGACGUCGGGAACGGGCGCAGAGUCGGCUUUCAAGAAGGAGCGGAAUCGGGGGGAGUCGAGGAGGACGGUGGGGAGGUCGGACGGGAGCUUGUGGGCGGUGGAGGAGGUGGCGAAGGCGACGGAGGGUCUCGAGAGGCCGACGAGGCGGGAGAUCUCCGGAGGGGUCGAAACAGGGUUCGCAGGGGAGACGACGACGCCGAGGGAGAGGAGAGCCAAGUAGAGGACGGGGACGUCGAGGCGCGGCGGGGAGAGGACGAAGGCGACGUCGCCUUUGGACACGGCGACGGUGGAGCGGAGCGCGGCGGCGAGGGAGCGGGUUUGAGAGAGCAGCUCCGGGUAGGAGAUGGCGUCGCCAUUGGCGGCGUCGACGAGAGCGGGGUGGGAGGGGAGGGGGGAAGAAGGGAGGAAGGAGAAGGCGAAGGAGGGGAAGGAGAGGGGGAGGGAAGGGGGAGGGAGGGGGGAGGCUGGGCGGAGGCUGUGGAAGGUCCUCGUCGCUGCGCAGAAGCCGCUGCGAGGGUCGAUGGACGGCGCCGGAGAGGAGGAUUCGGCGGCAACUGCGGCGGCGGCGGCGGCGGCGGUCUCUGCCAUGAGGAAAUUAUGUAUGUGGAGUACAGUGGGUGGUUGGACGCUGGGAGGAGGAGAAAUGGUAUUAGUUUGUGUUUUUUGUUUUUGUUUUUAUAAUUAGUAGUCUUCUUUGGCAGCAGUUUAUGUGUUUAAAAUUUAAAAAAUUCUGUCUGCACAUUUUAUAAAAAAAAAAGAAAAAGAAAAAAAGUUUGUGUAUAUUUUACAUUUUUUAUUAUAGUUUGAAUAACUCUUUUUCAAUUUUUACUGCUAAAAAAAAGGUUAAUAAGAUAAAUUUCAAAUUUUAAAAAUAUCUAAUUACUUUCAGUUGACAGAAAUAUUUUAAUUAAUUUUUAAUUUUUUUAAAGAUAUAUAUUAUAAUAUUAAGAUCUACUGAGAAAUUUGAGAUUUUAAAAAUUUCUUUAAAUAUAACGCUUGCAUAUCAUUUACUAAUACGUGGGGCCCAUGCAUUGUCAGUUCGACUGUCCAGCAUCCGACGGUACUGAGGGGUCAUUGGAAAUUUCUUUUUUCUUUUUUAAAUUACAUGUUGAUACACUUGUGAUACAAGUGCAAGAAACCAUGGGCAGGAAAAGUACUUAUAAUUUACUAAACAUCAAUUUAGUAUCCUGUUCUUUUAUUCUUAUUUUUUUAUUAAUUUUUCUGUUAAUAUUUAGUUAAAUUAUAUACAAACAAUAUCAAGUAUUCUAUUUAGGUUUAUCAAAUAUUCCCUUUAGUUACCACUGAUUUAAUGAAAAAAAUAGCAAAAUCGAUAAUAAAAGACUAAAAAUGAAACCACAUGUCACUAAAUUGAUAUACUUUAAAUCACAAAAUAUUAAGCUGAGAAAGUGUGAAACCACAUGGUGGUAUUUGAAUUUUUUUUUUUUUUCCAAAAUAGGUGGCGAAUGUUGAGAAGAGAAACUUUUUUUUUUCAUUAUUUACCUCGAGUUCUUUUUAAAUUUAAUAAUUUUGUAGCAAGUAAAAUUUUGAUUGAUUAAUUUUAGUUCUUUUAAAUUUAAUAAUUUUGUCGCAAGCAAAAUUUCAAUCGAUUAAAAGUUAAUAGCUAUAGAGUUAUUAAAUUGGAUAAAUUAUUUUAUCGUAAUCGAAUAUAAAAAUUUAAAUAAUAGAAUUAAAUGUUAAAAACUCUCAAGUAAAAAAAUGGAAGUUGAGGAGGCUAUUUCGGAAUUGUCCGAUGAUUUAGGAGAUUUUUAUAUAAUUUUACUGAUAAUUUUACUGACGUGAAUUAGCCCUGUAGCCCACAAACGAGUUUCUUUGAUUUCGCCUUUCACGUCGGAGUUUUUCUAAUCUUCAAGUUCAUGUUAUCCGAAAAAUUGUUUUAUAAUGUGUUAAGCAACCAAAAAUAAAUGAGAAAACUUAAGUAUCCUUUAAAUAUUUAAGGAUAGAAAUACUUAAUCUAAGAUCAAAAAUAUCUUCAUUGUGCUGUUAAAAAUUAUUAAUUUUUAAGUACAUUUGAUCAUAAGUUAGAUGAUAUUGAAAUAUCGUAAAAUUCUAUAUCUAAUGAAUUGGCAGUUUCACAUCCUUGUUGGCUUAAAAAAAUCAGCAUUCUAUCUUGUAGUGGAAGAUCAGGUUUGGUUCGAAAUGACGGAAAGUCCAAUUGGAUUGAAUUAUGUUCGAAAUAACGUGAGACUAAUUAGACCGAAUCACAAUUGAAAUCCGUGAGCACUGUAUUUGCACGUUUUAAGUGAAUUAACUGUAUCUUUUUAACCGCUUAAGUUUUAAGGAUGAAUGGUUAACGCCAACGAUCACAAUCCUAUGAUCAAAAAAUAAUUUAAUAGAGUUGAAACCUGAGUACUAUUAUUGGUAAUAAUUUAGCCCAAUUGUGACCUUGAGUUGAGGGCACCCGCUAAAAUUAUUAGGACACAAUUUGGCCCCACAAUGACAUAUCUAUCUUGAAAAGAGAUUUCAACUUCUCAUCAACAAACACAAGAAUCUUAAUAAGGGAUUUCAACUUCUCAUCUGCAAACACAAGAAAAUGUAAAGAGUCACUGUCCUGACAUAAUAUUAUUGAUAUAUGAUGAUCAUAACUGUCUGAUCACGUGCAAAAGUAAACCUGUUAUGGAAAAAAAAAAAAAAAAAAAUUUAAAAAAAAGGCAAGAGACCACAAGAGUGGUUGCAAUGAGACAUCUGGCCUUUGAAGAAAUGGCCAUCCAAUAAGUCAAACAAUGCAUAGUUUUUGUUAGAACAAACAAGUGGAAGCUAUUUAAAUUGGCCUUAGUGAGGCAUUUGUGAAGUGCUGUUAUAUAAAGCUGUUUAAAAAAGUUUCGACCUUGUGUGCUUGUUAUCCUGUUUGUCAAAGUUCAUCUUACUCCUUGCUACGGUAAAAAGCACUAAUUAUUUAUAAAGCAAAAGUGAAAAUAUAUGAGAUCUUUUCUAGAUUGACAAAUAGUUGUGGCACGCCUUUUUUCUUGAAGCCCCAUCACAUAACAUACAGGAUAUUCUAAAGUUAGCCCUCAACUUUUUAAAGCUUACAAUAAACUAAAGUUCAGAUAUAUUUUUCAGUUUUUCAAAAUGACCUUUAACUUUUACUAAACUCUCAAUUAAAAAUCAAAUCUCAUAGCAACCUACAAUUAACAGCAAUUUAAAAUCCAAUCUACUGAGCAUAGUGAAUAACAAAAUAUUAUCCACUUCCUCCACCGGAUGAAUUUAAGUUAUCGUCACACAGAAAUAAUUAAAGUUUUUAAUCUGAGUUAAAAUUAAUUAGUAGAGCUUCUCACUUCUGAUAUAGUCUGAAGAACAGUUAGGAGAAAACCAAUAUCGUAUUCUUAUUAUGCAUCAGGCCAAACAAGAAAAGAAAAAAAAAAAUACAAAUCAAAUUAACUUACCUAAACAUUAGAUUCUUUCAAUAAAAAUCCAAAACAAUUGUACUUCAUAUCCGCAUCUUAAAAUAUUCUUAAAAAAUAUUUAUCUCAUUUGAAUCGUUUGUGACCCCUCAACAGAAACCAUCAAAUUGAGUGGCUCUCAUCUGCACAUGCAACUUUUUCACACACCAAAAAAUAAGCUAAAAUUUUAGUUCACGCUUUGUUUUUCCCCAAUAAACAAAUUCAUUUAAAGUCAGCUAAACACAUUAAUCGCACCAUAAAAUGAAAUAAUCUUUCCAGUAAUAUCACCCUCGACAUUUCGAAAAGAGUUUAUAUUCAAUGAAUAACCGAUAACAUUUAUGAAAAACAAUUACAACAUCAGAAAACAGAUACAGCAAAAGUGCAGCUAGAAGUGCACCUGUAUCUUCCGACAAAAGAAACACCUGAAAAUGAAGGCACACAUAACAAGCAAUGCUGUCAAAACAAACUAAUUUCAUAGAGAUAAACUUAAUUAAAACAGCUCAGUUUUGUUAAAAGAACAAAAUGAGAGUACACAUCUUGGCUGCAACCAUAUCACUAUGGCACCUCUGUUAAAGAAUGAACGUAACCUAACUUGGUACUGCAAUAACAAGAGAUGGAGUCUCAUCUGGCAGUUAAAAGAAACUAAUAGAUACUGGAGACCAAGUAAUACAUACUGAUGCCAGUUGCUUUGCUUGGUUACCGGGCCAAUGCGACUUGCUAUUGUUUUGUUCAAGUGAACAUGCUGCAAACCACAACAGGCUUUAGAAGUGCCUGGCAUUUAUUAAGCAGAUCACACACAUCAGAGAGAAUAUGUACUUGCUGCUUACAUCAGAAAGAAUUUCAAGAGAGUGGAAUCAGUAUUAUAUAUCAUAACAAAUGGCAACUUUCUCAUUUGAACCAUCUAGAAUUCCACUGGGCAUCAGUUCACCUGCGACUUACGAAUGUACUACGGAACAUACCUCAGUAGACAGUAGCUAUGAAUUGUAGUUACUGCCCCUCCCAGCUGUGGGAAUCAGUACAUUCUAAGGCAAUUAUGUGGGGACGACAGAGCCAUCCUUUCCUUUUCUUUACAUUUGUUCCCAGCAUCACGGUUGCACAAAAUCCAUCCAAUCACUAAAAAAGAUCCAAACAUUUUCCCCCCAGCUUGGACUCCAAACGUGAUCUUCGAGAAAACCAAUGAAAAGUUGUGAAUCGAUCAACUUAUGAUCACACAGCUACUGAGUGCUUCUUGAAGGUUAGCAGUCUGGGUGAACUGAAUUGUGGCAGAUCAUACAGACAGUAGUGUCAACAAAUCUUUACGGCCCCAACCCUACCCUAUGCUUAAGCAGAGUUUCUGUACCAACCUGAUCUUUGUACCAUUUGUAACAACUUAUAGGUCACUGUCCAUAUGAAAGGAUGUCCAUAUCGUAGUGAAUUUGUCCAGUGUGCCGCGUCACGCAAAAAGUGAUUUGCAUUAAAUAUCAAACUAAGCAGACCACCGAAGAAACCUUAAAUCAAAAUGGGCAAUUCAUAUCGCGAGCAACAGGGCGGUUUAUGAGCAAAAGAACUUCUUGGCAAGGUAUGUGUGGACAUUGAUAGACUCCAAAAUAUGAACACUAUUCAUCCGCAUCAAAAGGACCAAGUUCGUAAAUUAGCAUACCUCCAUGUAAUUGCUUAUCAACAUAGUGAAAAACAGCCCCACCUUCAUGCUCGCCUUCUUGAUGAAGCUUCAAGAAAUGAUAUCAUGAUCCUACCUUCAGUAUGAUGGACAUCUCAUUCUGUCAUGGAGUGUAGAUAGAAGUUGUGAUAACAGAUAGCUUUGAUGGUCAGGCUUUCUAUUUAUUAUGUCGACAUAAAAGACUAGAGUAGAAACUUUAUCGAAGUCACCAUCUUUUCCGAAUGAUUGCAGUUUUCUGGUUUUGUUGUUUUCGAAAUAUGCCACCUAGGCAAAGCACUAUUCAACCGGUCAAUCUUAAAAUAUCCCUUCAGUUGCAGGUUUAGGCAUCUAGAAGCUCCUAUAGUGCCUCUCCAUGGUGAUACGGUGCCGAAGAAUUCCUAAAAAUAUCACUGAUGAAAUUUAAAAAGAAAUAAGAAGUGAAAUCAGGGGGAAAAGUUUAUAAUACAAUCAGCCAUCCUGUUUUCAAUAUACCUGGUGAACUUUUGACAGACUGAAUUCCUCCUCAGUCCUCAAAUCCCUGAUGACUCCUAGCUGGCUAGGACACCAACUGGUAGGAGCUAUUACUUGUGGGCAUCUCUCUCACAAAGAGGUGCCCUUUCUUCUCUUCACCUUGAUAGAAAGGGCUCCUAAAGAUGUAUACUAAAAAAUUGGAAGAGCUACAUUGUCAUUCUCUAUCUCUUUAACAAAGAAAAAGAAUCUUAUCUGUAGACCACACCCUCCGAAGAAAACCAUUCUGAUAUAAUUCUUAGACAUGGAAACAAGAGCAUUAACAACAUCAGAACACCUGAGUAGGAAAAAUAAUUAUACUAGGCCAGUUAGCUGAACAGGAUCCAGAGCCCCACUCAACAGUAGCAUCAAGUUUAACACCUAAAUUGUAGGAUGACUGGCCAAUCAACCGACCUCAUUAUUAGAAAAGCGAGGCGACUGGCCAAUCAAACUCAUUCCAAAGAAUAAAAAAUGGUAGCACUGUACAAGUUAAAUUUUUUGUAUGAUAUUUUUAAAGCCUACUCGUUUCUGGUAUAUUGUUUACAAACAAAUGUCCCAAUGACUAAUAAAUACACAUUUUCCAGAUAUAUUUGAAAGCGGGAAAAGUGAUAAUUGAAGAAUGAACGUGCUAUGUAAAUACAAAACAUAGUGGACGAUGAACGACAUCUUUCUAAUCCAUAAGAUUGUAUUUCACAAAAAAGCAGGUUUUAUUAGAUAUCAUAAACAAAAGAUAAAAUGCAUGAAACAAGAGCCAAAAAAUACCAUUCCCCGAAGUCCAGCAAACGGUUGUAAAAACAAUAUAUCAGGCCACAGUAUGACUCCGAACACUAUCUUGGCCACAUUAAAAGAUUAGGAGCUACGCGCCACGCGCAUCAUGCGGACAAGGCAUACACAAAAAUCAGCACUAUUCUUUGCACAUAGACGAUGGGAAUAUAUUAGUAAAGUUUUAUAAACCAACUUUCACUAAAUCCAGAACAGAUUUCUCAAGAACAUAAGCAUUCACCUGGAACAUACUCGACUUACCCUGGCAGUAUCACCUAUCCCAUUCGAGUUGCUGUCUAUGGAACUGCAGCAUCAAUUUGCGGCAUCAAUAUCAAUAGUGCCUUGAAGAACAAUUCUACAGCAACAGCAACUUGGUGAUAGCAUUACAGCUAUAUGAGAAGGAAAAAAGGGGGGGAAAACAGAGAAAAAAAGGGAAAAGGACAGAAAAUUGCCACCUCGCCAUCGUAUGUAACUUAACAGGCAAACAACAUCGUAGAAGAGUAUAAAAUUGAGAAGUGAGCAAAUUGAAGCAUCAGAACAAUGAUAAGACAGGCCAAAUUAUUUGUCCGCAAUAACUUAGCAUGACUGGACAAGAAGAAACAAGAGUAGUAUACUGACCAAUGGGAGUUUCCACGCUUUCAGUGGGGGCUUUUUUUUUUUUGAGAAAAAGAAAACCUAGUAGGUUCACCAAGUUCAAGAGCUGUCAAGCUCCAGAUUUUGAAGAACCGCAAACUUAAAACUGCAUAAGUGUCAAAAAUAGUCGUAAGUUUCACUGGCUUUUAAAACAGUUCAGAUAAUAAUCAGCAGAUCAUCUUAACUCCAAAGUGUUAUGCAAGGAAAAGGGUGAUAAACAGCUUUUCUCAAAGCUUAUACAAGUCAUUAGAGAAACCAAGAUGAACUAAUAGUCCUCUCCAGAUUUGAGCAAUGUUAAACUUUAACACACGGGCAUGAAUAAUAUGUAAAGUAUACCAAAUCUUCUUUGCCAAGACCAAACAUGAAGUAGCAUUCAUCAGGCUGCUCAUAAUUAUAUGAUAGUCUAUCAAAUUUCUAGCUUCAUUUAACGAAAGUCUUCUUUACCAUAUCGAUCAACUCUUAAAGCCAUUUUACAUUAUUAUUACACAAGCAUCACACCACUUUAUUCUGUAAAUUUGAUACUGCGCAAAUUUCAUCACAUUAAAAUAUAUUGCUAUAUAUAAGGUUUGCUAACGAUCCGCUCUAGUCCAUAAUCGAGCAGAAUUUGGUAAAUUUUAGUUUGGAUUAGCUUUGACUUCUAGCAGACUUACAUAUUACUCAACGACCUUGAAAUGAUUCUUUGUUCAUACCUUAGUUAAAAACCUUUUCAAAUGAAAAUUGAGACAAGUCCAGACACAAAUAGUGAUACCAAAAGAGUGGUACUAUGACAGUAAAUAAAAUAAGAGACGGUUUGGAUAAAUUAGGAUUUGCAUAUGGGGUCGCCAACUGGCCAUUGACUUUAUAUUUAUGGCCACAAAGGAGGAAGUUUAUGAAAUUUCUUUAUUGAGUUAGCAAAUAAAAAUAUGGUUCUUUGACUUGGGCCUUACUUUCUGUUUAUUCUCCUUGUUCUCCUUUGUUUUUCUCCUCAUCCUCCUCAUCUCCAAUUCAAUCUUCCCAUAAAAGUAGCGAGUCUCAUGAGCAACAUUCUGUGAGCCUCUUUAUCCCAACUACUACCAACAACAACCAUAAUCAAUCAAGUACACUUAAGAAACCACAUCUCCCAACCGCUACAACAACUCUAUGAUCGAGGUUGGAUCAAUAUUAUAAUAUUUAAUUAUGUGAGAAAUGUGUUUCUAGCCUUUGUAUUGGAUAAUAACCAAAUCUUCAUUUAUGCAUAAUAUAGAGACUACACUAUACCUAUACAGAGUGUAAGAGAAGUGUAAACGAAGUCUGAAAGUCUAAGUUGUAUGAGUUUGACAAUUUGAGAGUUUACAACUCUUUUAUUUAUGUAUUACUAUGUUUUUAUAUAGAAUUGAAACUUUCGAACUGUUAAUCACACAUAGCUAACAAAAGGCAGGAAAAAAUAAGUGCAAAGAGUCCCAAAGGCAAUUCUUUUCCUCAUCGACAAGCAUACAAUAGUUAGCUCAAUAUGAAUCUUUAUAUUUCACCUAUGCAAUUAUAAAAGAAAUUUCACCUUGCAAGAAGGAUAAUUUCACAUGCACACCAAUACUGUCAGAAAAAAGUUACACAAAGCAUACAGAAGACAUCGAGCAUGAGGUGUUACAGUUAUUGUGACAUCAAAAGCAAGAAAACACAUCAUCAAUGAUGACAGUGUUAACACUUCAUGUACAAUCACUAUAGGUGAGUUACCUUUCUGCUAGAAUUCUCCCCUCAAUUCCUUCAGAAAAAGAAAAGACCACCUCAGGACAAGCUAAAAUGAUCUUCCGCUUCACAUCAUUCGUCUCUUGCAAAAUAAAUGCAAAGAUCAAAGGAAAAGGUACCAACAAUGAAGAUAAAAUAUUUAUAAACUUCAGAUAUUUCAAGACCAAGAUGUUUGGCAUCAUUUAAAGAUUACAAGUAAGGAAUAUGUUACAUAAAUGCAUUCAAAAGUGAUAUUGACUUGAGCAACAAAUCCAAUAUGCCACACCUUACGAUGUAGGUUUCAUUAGAGGAUUGCUUUAUCUCAUGAAUAGGCCAAGCACAUUUUAUCCUGCAACAAAAAUUGGUUUUGGCGUAGUAUAGGAAGAAGAAUGUUAUCCACCCAAUCGCCAAGGGUGCCUGAUAAACAAGAGCAUCAGUUGUCGCUCUCACCUCAGAGAAAUCAACCUGCUGUCACUACCAGUGUUAGUAUUGCAUCGAUCAUCAAUAGCUGUGUGCUCUACCAGAACUUUGGUUUCUCUUAACCGAAAAGGCUGUGUGUCCCUAACUCCCCUUUCUGUAACUCUUUUAUUCGCUGCUCCGCAAGUGGAUCAGGACUCUUCAUGGUCCUCCUUAGACGCCUAUAUUAUUUGAAGAAACAAGUGUCACUGUGAUGGAAAAAUCUUUCAAGUAAAAGUAUAAUUAUUCAUCUGACUCUCAGUGCAUCCAUGUACCUGUCCUGUGCAUGUUGAGCAGGGAAUGUUGGCAUGAAAUCCUUUGAUUUAGGCAGAGGAACUUCACGAAACCAAUCAUGUUUGAGAGCAGCUUCUGCUGUUAUACGCUGCAACAAGCAAAAUAACACACAAUUAGAGAGGGAAAAGGACUAAAGGAAUGAUAACAAAUAUUAGCACCGAAUGGCUCUAGCGCAUCACCUUCUCAGGGUCAUAAGUCAACAGUUUGUUGAGUAAGUCAAAUCCAGCUUCCGACAAGGACGGGCGUCCCGAAAAUGAUGUGGGCGGGAACUUUUCCCGCAGCCUGUUGUACCUGUUGGAUCAAAUGCAAUGGCUACUUAAGGGAAAAUUGCAAAGAGUAGCAGUGCUAAGUAGUGCUCGUUAGCGGAAAAUCAAUAACAAAGCAAUCAAGUAGAGAAGAAACUUACGGUUGCUUGACAAAGUUGGCUUUCACAUGAGGUAAUUUAGCAAAUCCCGGCCAUAUCUUCUCGUUUGGUGUGCCAAGUGUUCUAAAUAUCUUCAAGAAAGAAAGUUAACAAUUAGAUUGCAACAAGCGAAACAAAUGUAUUGCAUACCGUUAGAGAGGGUACCUUGUCAAGCUGGUCAAACUCGGUUUUCCCAUUAAAAAGCGGUUCUUUGGCUAAAAGUUCAGCCAUUAUACAACCCAAUGACCACAUGUCAAUAGCAGUAGAGUAUUCUUUUGCUCCUAGUAGAAGUUCAGGUGCCCUGAAAAUGCAUAACACAUCAAACAUUGAGAGAAAAAUGAAACGAGAACUAUGAAAUUACAGAUUGUUGGGUACAAACUUACCUAUACCACAAAGUCACAACCAACUGAGUAUAUGGCUUCAAUGGGCUGCCAUAUUGACGAGCCAGUCCAAAAUCACAUAUUUUUAACUCACCACGGUUAUUCAAAAGUAUAUUUGAAGUCUUCAGAUCCCUAAAAGAAAGAGACCAUAUAUUAGAAGAUAUACUAUGUAUUUCCAAAUACUGCAGAACGAAAUAUACGCAAAGAACUUGCCUGUGCAAUACCCAGUUGUCAUGAAGAUACUUGACACCCUCCAACAGCUGCAGCAUCAAGCACUUAACCUCACUCUGACUAAAGGGUUGCUUCAUCGCCUCCAUGAGCCCUUUAAGAUCAUGCUCCAUGUACUCCAUUACCAUGAAUAUACUAUCUAGGCUGCUACCUACAACAACUUCCUUAACAUCAACAAUGGAAGGGUGAUGAAAAGACAACAAAAUGUUUAUCUCCCUCAGAGAGGUCAGCGGGAAGCCCUCUCGUUCCUUCUCCAUCUUAACCUUCUUCAGCGCAACAACCUCGCCAGUCUUCUUGUCCCUUGCUCUGUACACAACUCCAUAGGUGCCUUCAUCUAUCUUGUUGAGCCUCUCAAACUCAUCGACGCUUCUGCACCCUUGCAGCAUGUUGAUACAUCUUUGUGGCGGCUGUGCAGGUUCAGGGGUUUUAGCCCCAUAAUCCUCAUCCUCUGACUCUGUCUCAGACAUUCGAUCAGACACAUAGCUGUCGGCCUCAUUCCUGUCAAUAUCCAUAUAGUCGUCCCGUCCGGAACCAGACGACUUAGACACAGCCCCUGCAGAACCCUCCCUCACAAUCUCUCCAAGCUCAGGGCUUGGAACUUUCUUAAGCGAUCCUUUUCCCAACGAAUCAGCCGGCGACGUACUUCUCUUUUUCUUCGGCACAGCCUCUGCGUCUUCAUCUUUUUCAUCAUCAAGUGCAUUGUUCCCAUCGGCCCAGCGAGAAGAUGAAAUGUUCCGUGCAGUAGGGUACUCAUAAUCGUCCUCUUCCAUCUGCUCGGCUUCCGGAUAGCCGCCCAACUCACGGUCACGAGGCGAAUCAAUCGAAUUUGGCAAGACGUGCCCGCGAGGCAGGGGAGGAGGAGGCGGGGGGAGUUCGACGGGCUCAACCAAUUCUUUUCUACUUACAGAAGUAGCAAUAGCAAUAGCAAUAGCACUAACAGUAGCAGUAGCAGUAGCAGUAGUGGACUGCCUCCCGUCAUCCCUAUCCCACACUAUAGGAGAGAACUUCCUCUUCUUGCUCGGAGAGGGUAUCGAGCGGCCGUUUUCCCCAUCCUGGAAUCCGUUAUCAUUAUUAACCUGCAGCUGCGGUGCCUCAGGGCCCUCCGAUCCGCUGCCGCCAGACAGCUCCCCAGGCUCCCGAUCAGCCGACCGCCCCGAAAGCCGGCUCCUUUUCUGAUCAUCUUCGCCGCCUCCGGCCGAGCAGUGUCCGUUCUCGACGACGAUGCUCUGCCGCUUCUCCGGCUGCUGGUGAUGGUGGCGGUGAUAGCCAUUCAAAGGCUCCCUCUUCUUGGGGAGCCCCUGCGAAUCCCCAACCCUAGCCCCCAAAUCGCGGCCGCGGCGGCUCCUUCGAUCCGGGCGAUGCCCCUUCCUCCUCGACGCCUCCUUAUCCAAUUCAAGGCCCCUGGAUUGGUUGUCUCGCAGACCCCCGUGCCGCCCCGACGCCAUUGAAACCACAAGAUUCCGAUCCAGGGAACGCCGAACCUUACGAAACCCUAGAUAUCGCAAACCCAGGCAAUUGGAACCCUAGAUGAUUAGGGAGGAGGGAGCGGAGAGGAUAAGAGAGAUGGGGAAUUAGAGAAUUUAUCGGACCUGGAAGAGAGGCGGCGGCGAUGAGAGUUCUCCCCCGACGGCUCUGGAAGAGAAAAUGAAGCAGGCAGCGGAGCUUCCGUAAAAUCUCAGGACGCUUUUGUCCGCCUUCCGGGUUGCUUCUCUCUCUUAAUUAGGGCUAGGGCGAAUCACGUCAGCGCGUAUUUGGAAACAAGCGUUCAGUUCGGCUUUGUACAGAAUAUUGUGGCUUCAUUAAAAAAAAAAAAAUUAAGAAAAAUGUUACAAUUAUUCUUGUGUGAAAAAUAAUGACAAUUUAUGAACACUUUUCAUAGAACUCAAAUUUAUAAAAAAUAUUUAUUUUAUAAACUAAUAUUAUUUUAAUAUAAAAUGUUAUAUUGCUUUCAAUUGAACUCGUGUAGAGAUCCGUGCAAUGCAGCGGGUAGAUAAUAUAAGCAAAAUUUAAAAAUUUUAAUAAAAUUUAUAUUUACGGAUUAUUGAUAUAUAGAAAACUACACCAUGUUAUGUACAGCCAAUUAGUAUGACUAAAUUUAACUAUUAAAAAAAUAAAUUAUAACUAGAAUCCACUCAUUGAUAAAAUAUUAAUAUGGUGCAUAUAAUUAAUUGUUGCAUCUUACAUGUAAUUAGAUGAGUGGGAGGUGAAGGAUUGGGCGUUGAGAAGAGGAGAAGAUGGUUUGAUUUAAAAUUGGGCUAUGAGAAUGAAGGGUAACAUGUUACAUAGUAAAAUAAAUUUUUAUGGUACAUAUAAAAGAGUUACAAAAGAGAGGGGGUGGAAGAUUAAUGGAGAAAGGAGUUGAUUAAAAUUAUAAAGUCCACUCAUUCAUAGAAUAUUAAUAUGGUGCAUAUAAUUAAAUAUUGCACCUUAUAUAUAAUUAGAGGAGUGGAGAGUGAAAGGUAUCAUGCCACGUGGCAAAAAAUAUUGUGGCUUCAUAUAGAUUUAUAGAUUAUAGAUUAUAGAUAGAUUAUAGAUAUCUUAAAUUUUUACGUGCUGCUCAAUUGUAUUUAAAACCGUCAUAUAUAAACAGANAUAUAUAUAUUACACAAGUGAUAUGAAAGCAACUCAAAUUUGGUUCAGCAUCUUAAAAAAAAAAUUGCUAAUUGUCUGAUCCCAUUUUACGGCCUGAUUCAACAAAACAGAGUCAAAUUGCAACUAAUUGAACAUUUCUGCCUAUUGCGAACUUCAUCGUUCAAAUGAAAAACAUAAAAAGAAAAGAAUUAAAAAAAAAAAAAACUAUUCCGUGCUGUGGCACAGUAGGCAUGACAAUUAGAAAAGGCAUCAAACGAAGCUGCAAACAAAAACAAAAAAAAAAGGGUAGCAAGAUCGAGCUCAUUGCUUACCAACAAAUAUCUUUGGAUUGUUGGUGCUAAUCAUUAAUCCCCAAAACUCGAGCAGUUAGAAAUAUACAACUAAUUCACUUAAAGCAUAUAAAUAGAGCGUCCACGGGUCUCGAUUGUGACUCGGCCCAAUCAACCUCACGCCACUUCAAACAUGACUUGGCUCAUCCAACCUCACGUCAUUUCGAACAUGACUCGGUCCAACAUGACCUCCCGCCAUAUGGCAGAAUACUAGCUCAUUUAAGCCAACAAAUAUUUCUUCGCCCAAUAAGUUAGUAGAGAAAGCAUAUACUAAGAAAAAUGACAACACACAAUUUGAGUACUUUGGCCUUGGGCCUUAUGUUUAGUAUUAUUCUCCUUCCUCGUACGCUUUUUUUUUUCCUACGAUGUCUCCCCUGCCUCAUGAACAACACUCCGCAAGCUUCUAAUAUGCCUAUCAGAUUCAAACUAUGUCCUUAUUCAGACUAUACGAUAAGUGUAAAUGAAAUCUCCAAGGAUGUAUGAGUUGGAAAGCCCCAGAUGAUACAUCAAGAUGGUAGUCACCCAAGAAUAAGAAAUGCUGCCUAAAUGCCCACAAAGAUAACACAACCAAAACAACGUGGAACCAGCCCCACAGCAUGUAAAAAACAUAUUUGCUUAUUACAUGGAAUAAUUGCGCAACCAUGCAUCUUCACAUUAAACCCUUGCAAAAGAGAAACUCGGUCAAAUAAAUAUUGAAAUUCCCAGAGAAAUUCCACCUUGCAAGAAAAACAAUUUCAUAUGAGCACUAAUACCAUUACCAUCAGACAAAGAUUCAGGAGGCAUACAGCAGAGGCAUUACAAUUAUUGUGACGUCGAAAACAAAAUUAAUCUUCAUUUACUAGGUGAAUUACCUUGCGAGAAUUCUUUCCCACAAUCCCUUCGGGAAAAACGAACACCACUUCUUCCAGGAAAAAGGCAAUAACCAUCCUCCGCCUCACAUCGUCUCUUGCAAAAUAAAUGCAAAAAUUAACGCAAAAGGCACGAAUAAUGUACACAAACUAUUUGUAAACUUGUGAUAUUAAGAACAAGGUUCUUAAAAUUGUUUACAACAUAGUACUACGCAAUAUGUUACAGAAAUGGUUUCUAAUGUGAUACCAGUCUUAUUGAUAUGUAUACAGGAACUUCAAAACUUGCGGUCGCUGAUCUUCGAGUGCCCCUGGUAGAAUUUCAUGAAUUCAACUGCAUAUCUGCAAUAGUAAGAGCUUUUGUAGUUACUUCUUUUCGUGUAAAUCUGAUUAGUGCACAAUCGGAUUAUGGAUAUUAGAUUAGCUGCGAUGUAAAUCUAUGUCAUUGCCCAAUUAAUGCUUCCAUGUUGUCAUUUCGUGCUGCUACAAUUGUCAGCUAUCUUGUACGUAAAUUGUUACAUCUUACUACAUGUUUCCUGUUAUGGAUCAUGAUUUAUCCUAAUAAGUUUAGGAUAAGUAUAAAUUAUAUAUUUCUUAUCAGUUAAGAAACAUAUCUUAUAAUGAAUAUUUAUUAUAUAUUAAUAAAUAUCUCAAUCCUAAUCCUAAUUAGAUUCAGGAUAUUUAGGGGUUCCGUUAUUCUAUAUAUACGCCCCCGUUUUCUCCCGUAGAAACGACGAAAAAAGAAUACGAUCUAAUUCGAUAAUCCACAAAAUCUUCCUUCUUCUCUCUCUUCUUCCUCUCUGGGAUUUCCACCUACGUUCCCGGGAUUUUAGGGUGUGGACAUAGGAGAGGACUUUGGUAGCCCUCUCCGAUUGGCAUCCGUGACGUAAGGCGAUCCGUUCCUUGACGUAAGGCGUACGCAUGGAAGAAGACGGGAAAAGUGGGAGAUCUAGAAGCAUCGAGACAAGGACGAUCCAAGAAGGCUUGUAAAACGAGAAACUCGAUCCGAUUCCGGUUCCCGGAUACGUUGGCUAUCCGGUUUGUAAGUUUCCGCUGCCUAUUAUUUCUAACAUUUCCUAACGCUUCAUUUUUAUCAUGAAGUCCUGCAAUCCCAUUUGCAUAAAUGUAUAGAACCUUAUGAGAAAAUUUUGCAUCUUGUGUAGAAAUGGCGCUGCAGCGGAAAAAUAUAUCAAAGUCAGCAUCUUUUGCAAGCUAUUCUAACUCCAACAGCAACUUCCACAGAAACUUCAAUUGGACCCAACAGGUCCUUAACAAGUUCAGACAAGUUUCUUUCUGAUUACCCUACCCGGUUAAAAAUGUUCGAAAGAAAAUUAAUGUCGUUCAACGGUGACAAGUGACAACAACAUUUCGUCCGGUCAUUGCUGAAGAAAUCGAUGGCGGUCAACAACAGUGAUAAUGUUUUCACGGAAUUUUCAGCUUCCCCACAGAUUGCGAUGGAUGGCUUGUUUUCAUUCUGCUUCUCUUUUAUUGUGAUUUUUCGAUGAUGAUGAUGAUUCGGUAUGUUAAUCGCAAAUUUAGUGCCAAAAAAUGUUGCAAAAUCUCUGUUUCUCUCUGGUUGACUAGUGAGGGGUCAAAUCGCUAAAAUAUACAGUGGCUUUCUCUAAGAAAACUUGGUAAGCAGUUGUAUUUGGGUUGCGUGAGUGAUAGAGAUUUGAACAUUCCAAGUAGAACAAAGUAACAGCUAUUUGGAGAAGUGCUUUAUCUGACUAUUGACUCUCUUCAUCUUUCUGUGGAGAAGGUCUAUAAUUAAUUAAAGGGAUAAUUGCCUAUACACUACUCAUACAUUUGAAAACAUCCGAUUUAUUUUUACUUUUUUUUUCUUUCUAAAAUACCUCUCAUAUGUUUUACCGUUAUUAUAAAAUACCCCUGCAGUUAUCUCUUGUUAAGUUAACUUGGGUUAAACGUGAGUUAAAUAUCUACCAUAGUUAAAAAAAAUAAAAUACUAAUUUUGCCCUUAACUUAAGAGUAAAUAAAAAAUAUUGGUGACGGUAGAGGGAUAUAUUAAAAAAGACCAAAAGUCAAAAUACUUUUUGUGCCCCAGAUUUUAAAGGCAAAUAAGAAAAUUAGUGAUGGUGGAAGGGUAUAUUUGAAACGGCAUAAUAGUAAUUUUACAGAAAUAAAAGAGUUCAUUAAUAGAUUUUAAUUCUAGAGGUAUAUUAGAAAUAGGUUGGAACGUAGAAAAUGUAUUUUCAAUAUUAGCCUUUUAAAAAGGAUAAAUCGAAAAAUCGGAAACUUUUCAAGGUAUAUAAGCAAUUGCCCCUUAAUUAAACAUCAUUGAAACAUAAACGCAAUACUAUUCGCCAAGAGUCUUAAGUAGUUAAUACUCACUAGCUUACUUAGAGGCUAUUCAAAACAUACCAUUUUUGCCAAUCUCAUCAUCCAAAAACUUAAGGACUUGUAGUUUGUGACUAGAUUUCGCCAACAACUUUUUAAGAGGGAAAUUAUUAUAAUUAUUUGGAAAGGUUAAGUGGAAUCGAAACUCUAAUAACAAAUUAUUGUCCCACCAGUGUACUUUAAGCUCGUGGUUAACCCAUAAAGUUGCACUCAACACGUGAAUGAUCACAAUGUCUUACAAUCAAGCUAUCCAUCAUUAAGGACAUUCUUUUAUUUUUAUAUUUGUUUGUACAGUUAUCUUAUACAAUAAUUUAUCAAAAUUAAGAUAAAAAUAAAAUAUUUACAGGAUGAAUAAAUCAACUUUUAGCCCUAUAGUAUAAUUUACGCAAAAUUUGAAAAAUUUGAAUAAAGGGUAAACUUCAGGUACCACUCCUGUCGUUUCGUACUUUUUUACUUUAGUAUCAUAUAGUUUAAAGUAUAACGAAUUAGUGUCAUAUGAUUUUAUUUUUAUCUUUUUGUCAACUUUUUCGUUAAUAUUUUGUUAAAUUAUAUGCAAAAAUUUUUAGAUACUCCACAUAUAUUUAGCGAAUAUUCACUUUAGUACCAUUUAGUUUUAACUUUGUCACUGAUUUAACGAAAAAAAUUAGUAGAAUCGAUAAUAAAAAUAUAAAAUGACACUAAAUUAAUAGACUUUAAACUGACACUAAAUUACUACGCUUUAAACAGUAGAAUAUUAAAGUGAAAAAAAAAUUGAAGCCACAUGAGUCUGCAGGCUACUGUUCAAUUAUUGCAUGCACCAGGUUCAUGGUAAUAUAUACGUAUCCUCGAUUCGGUCCACCAUCCAACGAGUGGCGAUUUUUUUUUAAUAUUAUAUUUAAAUGUCGGAUUGUUGGGAUUAAUCUCCGGUACGUAAAUGGAGGGUGGAUGGGAUGAGUGGUGCACAAAAGUAUAGAUGAACUGGGUGCAUGCAUAUUUCGAUGGCGCACGUGGAAGGAUGCUGGGACACACAAAUCCACCGUCCAGUUACAGGUCACUCAGCUAUUGGACGGUGGAUCGUUAAGCAUCCGCAUGCGCCGUUGCUCGUAGUAUGGCCCACUGCGCAUGUGGGCCCCACGGGGACAGUGCGAAGUGGGCCCACAAAUUGUCCAAUCAUUUCACUAGUCCCCAGACUCUUUACUUUGCUCAGAGUUUUCCCUCAACUCCCGCAACUUUGUUUUUACUGACACCCAAUGUCAGGAAAUUACUGCAUAGACCUGGCCCACCAAUCUCCCCAGAACCGGUUCAUAAAAUUUAACCCUGUAGGUCUUUAAAAUGUUUGACUAUAAACUAUUAGAAAAGGUUACAACUAAAACAUCUAGAAAAAAAAAAAAAAAAAACUGAUUGAAUAGGGAAAAAAGUUACCUUUUUCUUAAUAUUUUGAGAAUCUUUAAAAACAUUUAUAUUUUUUUUAUCUUUAAUUGCCAGUCCGCAGUCGCAUUCUAUUGUAUAGAAUUUGUUUUUGAGAUAUACAACAUAAUAAUGUCAGAAAAAAAAAUAUAACAUAUUAAAUUUCAAAUAUCUAUAUUGUAUAUAUAGCAAUUUAAUGUUUUAUUUCAAAAUAUUCGUAAUUAUGUUUAGGGUGUGCUUAUUUUUACCGAAAGUGAAGAAGGAUGAAAUAGUUUCGGCUGUAAAUAUUUAUUUUUGUUGUUUUGUAUUAUAAUAUAAUUUUUCUUAAGUAGAAACUCAAAACUCUCCAAAAUACGAAAAAAUAAUAAUAAUAUUAAUUUAUCCACCACAUCUCUAAUUUUUACGUUAUUCACUUUCUGUUAAAUAAAUAAUAAAAUUAAAAAAUUUUAAUUUAACUAUAAUACAAAUAAAUAAUAAAAAAUAAUUUUUAUCUUAACUCUGGUUUUUCCAAUAGUCUAUUAUAAAGUGAAUUUUAUCACUGACUGUCCCAGUGCAAGUGAUAAAGGAUUUGGUGGUUGAUACUCAAAAUUCGAAAUUUAAAAUUUAGGUUAUAUUUGGGAUUGCGAGAAGAUUGCAUUAUGCAAGGUGAGAAAGUAUGAUGAAAAAAUACCCUAUUUAUUUUCGUAUGUAAUAUUGCAUUUCGCAUAUAGCGAUAAAUUGGUUACGAUAUAUUUUCUGCAGCCCCACUGAAAAACGCAGAAACAUAUCCCUAUAUACUAUUUUUCCAGUUUCAUUUUAUCUAAUAGCGUCAGAUGGGUCUCAAUGCCAAACUAAACCUUAGUUAUUUAAUAUUUUCAGUUAAAUUUAUUUUUUAAAAUAAAUAAGAUGAAUAGCAUGUUUUUUUUUAAAAAAAUAAAAAUAAAAAUGAUCUUUAAUGAAACAACAAAGAGGCUCUCAACUGAAGAGUGAAGACUACGGUCCGGACAGUAGUAUAUUCUUCCCUUAACUGCACCCAGCGCGGUCCAAAAUAUCCACCAACAACAGCUGAAAUUUACUCUCUCUGUCUCACUACCGUCCAGAUCUCCCAUCUCGAAGCACUAAUAAUUGGAGACUCGGUGAAUUUAUAUGGAAAAGUUGGAGAGUCCCUCAAUUAUAAGAAAUUCUGAAGCGAUUCCUUGGACUAUUUGCACUUUACUUCCUAAACUUAGAUUUGAACGAAAUUAACCAAAAAAUUGAGGAUUUCAUUGAGCUUAAUAGUUUUAACUAGCUCAUGGCAAGUAAAUCUUAAUUAGUCGAAAUUUAUUAGCUAAUUAAGUGGUUGCUUGAAUUUAAGAAAAAGAAAGAUUUAAAAAGUAAAAAGAGUAUAAAUAAAUAAAAAAAUUAAAGCCGAGGAAAAGUUUUUUUUUUUUUUUUUUUUUUUUUUUUUUUCCCAUUCCACCUCUUCCCAUUUUUCUUUUUCCUUAGUCCAAAGUCAAAGCCGCCUCCUUUUUACCCUCCUCCCUCAUCUCCAUCUCCCCCAAAUCCCCUUCUCUCUCUCUCUCUCUCUCCUCUCCAAUCCUCGCGUACAAAUGAGGAAAUUCUACGCUGUGCUCCAUCUCCUCCUCGUCCUCGUCCUCGUCCUCGUCUCGGCGGUGAGGGUGAGGUCGGGGGCGGGGGCAUCGGGGGCGGCGCCGCCGGGGGACGGGGAGGAGGACGACGUGCGGUGCCUGCGGGGGGUGCGGGACGCGCUGGGGCGGCGGCUGUCAGCGUGUGACUUCGCGAACGCGUCGACGGUGGGGUUCGUGUGCUNGGAGAACCGCGUGAUCGCGCUGUCGCUCCAGUCCAUGUCGCUGUCGGGCCCCGUCCCCUCCGCCCUGCAGUUCUGCCGCGCCGCCACCACCCUCGACCUCUCCUCCAACGCCCUCUCGGGGCCCAUCCCCCCCGACCUCUGCUCCUGGCUCCCCUACCUCGUCACCCUCGACCUCUCCUCCAACUCCCUCUCGGGGCCCAUCCCCACCGACCUCUCCGCCUGCCGCUUCCUCAACAGCCUCCGCCUCGCCUCCAACCGCCUCUCCGGCUCCGUCCCGGCCUCCCUCGCCCGCCUCGACCGCCUCAAGACUCUCGACCUCUCCGACAACUCCCUCUCCGGCCCCGUCCCCCCGGCCCUCGCCUCCGCAUUCGGCGCCUCCGCCUUCGCCGGCAACCCCGCCCUCUGCGUCGACUCCUCCCGCUGCGGCGCCGGCGGCCGCUCCCUCACCCGCACCAGCCUCAUCAUCAUCGUCGCCGCCGGCGUCUUCGGCGCCGCCGCCUCCCUCCUCCUCGCCUACGCCGUCUGGCGCUGGUGCUUCUCCCCCUCCAAAAAGUCCAGGAAGAGGGCCGGGGCCGGGGCCGGGGCCGGGGCGGCCGGGGAGGAGGACGGGCGGUGGUGGGCGGAGACGCUGCGGGCGUCGCACAACCGGCUGCUGCCGGUGUCGCUCUUCCAGAAGCCGAUCGUGAAGCUGAAGCUGGCGGAUCUGAUGGCCGCCACCGCCGACUUCCAUCCGGACCACAUCGUCGCCGCCGGCAGCUCCCGGGUCGGCACCUCCUACAAGGCCGUCCUCCGCGACGGCUCCGCGCUCACCGUGAAGCGCCUCCACUCCUGCCCGCUCCCCGAGAAGCCCUUCCGCGCCGAGAUGGGCCGCAUCGGCCAGCUCCGCCACCCCAACCUCGUCCCCCUCCUCGGCUUCUGCGUCGUCGAGGACGAGCGCCUCCUCGUCUACAAGCACAUGUCCGGCGGCGCCCUCCCGCCCCUCCUCCGCGCCCCGCCCCACGCCGCCCUCGACUGGCCCGCCAGGCUCCGCAUCGGCGUCGGCGCCGCCCGCGGCCUCGCCUGGCUCCACCACGGCUUCCAGAUCCCCUUCCUGCACCAGAACGUGAGCUCCGGCGCCGUCCUUCUCGACGACGACGGCGAGGCCCGGGUCACCGACUUCGGCCUCGCGCGCCUCGUCCGCGCGGCGCCGCCCCACGAAGCCGCCGCCAACACCUCCCCCUUCCUGAGCGGCGACUUCGGGGAGCUUGGCUACGUGGCGCCGGAGUACGCCACCAAUCCGAUCGCCACCACGAAGGGCGACGUCUACGCGUUCGGGGUCGUGCUGCUCGAGCUGGCCACGGGGCAGAAGCCCGCGCAAGUCAGCAGCGAGGCGGCGGGGGAAGACUUCAAGGGGAAUUUGGUCGACUGGAUCAACCAGCUGGCCGCUGCCGGCCGGUUGACCGAUGCUAUCGAUAAGUCCCUGCACGGGAAGGGCCACGACGAGGAGAUCGUGGAGUUCUUGAAGAUCGCGUGCGGGUGUAUUGUAGCCCGGCCCAAAGAGAGGUUUUCCAUGUAUCGGGUAUACCAGUCGCUGAAGGAUGUCGGAGACGGCUACGACUUCUCCGAGCAGUUCGAUGAGUUCCCGCUGGCUUACGGCAAGGAUGAUUCCGAUACCCAGUAGCUGCGGCUGGUACCGUCGGGCAGAGGCCUGUCGUCGGAUGCUCUCCAUGGAUACCUUAUCCCGUGCCUGCAUAUGUCGGUCACAUCAAGUGAUGGACCAUCUUGCUAAGUAGUCCGACGGUAUGGCUUUUCAUCUAUUUUGUAAGUGAUGGUAUAGCUUUGGUCGAUCCGUUCUUUUACUGUCGAAUGAUCAGUUAUUGGCUUGCGCUUUAGCUUUUUCAGUGCACGAAAUUUGUAAUGUUAAUAGAGGCGGCUCUUGGUAGGGGUAAUGGGCUCCCUCGUCGAUGUUGUACACGCUCUGUACUGUCAUUGCAACGGAAUUUAGUUUAGCUAUUUUCUCAAGGAGUCACCCCUGAAUUCGGCGAACCAUUUUGCGCUUACUUGCUCCACGGUUAUGGAACACUGCAGUACUCGGUGGUAGUGUAUUAUGUAUUUCCAUUGAUAUGCCGAAUCAUAGGAUAGGUUGCAAGAUCACUUUUUCAUUACAUCGAUUUCGUGUCUUUGUUUGCAUAAUAAUAUGGUAGAUAUGCGUUAAUGUCAUGAUUGGCAGCUUCUGUCUGAAAUAGGUGUUUGAUGCUAUUAACACAAGCAACUAAGGUCAGUUUGGCUUUUAUUUUUUUAUUUUUUUUUAUUUUUUUUAUAUUUACUCUGUGCUUUGGGUGAGUACUGAUGAAUGUGUUCUUGAUCACAUAUUAUUUCUUUGCUUCCGCCUCUUCAGGCUCGUUGUUAUGAAAUGACUUUGUAUUUCAUGCUCAUGUGCCCCUGCGGCAGUGAAAUUCAUGUUCAGUGCAACACUUUGAAGUGAUUAUUAUUUGUUUUAGUUGCUUAGUUAAUUGCUUAUACUUUGAUGCUUUCUCUGAAUUUUGGCUAUACAAUUUUUCUAAGUUCCUACGAGCUCGCACCAUCCUUUAGCCUAUUUCCUCCUAGGCUGUAUAUUAAUUUUUAUAACUACCAUUCGAACACCAAAUGCUGGUGAGAGCGAAGAUGUCAAACCAAUUCCCAUUGUUCUUUCAUUAGGUCUCUAUUCUAUGUAACUUCUCUAAGUAUUUGUCUUAUAAUUAUCUUAUUCGAAGGAAGGGUGCAUCCUCUUUAUUAUAGGAUUUUGAAUUUCCGAACAUGCUGUGUUUCAAAUUAGCUGCAAUUAUGGGAUCUAGUACGAAAUGAGCAUCUGAUUUUUGUUUUUUCCUUUCUUUUAAAUGGGAUAGUUCAACAUUAUCAUAUGUUAAAUUAAUUUGGAUUUUCUUCCUCUAUAUCUCAGGUGUGAUGUUUUUGAACUCUCUCUCCUUUCCUAAGUCACUGAUACACCAUGAAUCUAACAAAAUAUGGAGCUCAGUCAUGUCCAUAUUGUAGCUGAAGCCCUGCUCGACCACGCUAUAGGUUGAGUAAUAGCUACUGCAAUCCAUAUCAGUAGGUUAUAAUAGUGCGUGGGUUGCUUCCGACACUAAGAAACUUUUAAACUGAAGUUCCGCAACAAUACCUUGGUGAAUUUCUGUUCUGCUUUUAGCCUUUUAGCUUUACUUUAAGAUGGUUAAACUGAAUGCAAAAGGUGUUGAGGUUUCUUAUUUGAAGUUACACCCGGUUAGCGAAACCUAGUUUUGAAGUAACACUCUGACAGCUGCAAGUACUAGACUUAUCGACAAUUAUACUUUAGCUCAGCAGUGAUUUAAUGCUCACAAACAUCUUUUAGAAAGAAUAGAUAUCAUGCACUAAAAAGCUUUUCUGUUUUCAGUGAUUUUUUGUCAUUGUAUGGGAAAAAACCAAGUUGUCCUGGUGCUUUUUUUUGUAUUUGUACACUUUGCCCUUUAGGAUGCAUCUUUACAGCUUAUGCUUCUGUAGACAGAUUGUUUUAUGGUUUAAUGGAAACAGAACCAGAACAUCCGUAUAAUGGUGUCUUUGUCUUGUUCAAUUGGUCCAUUGUUGCAAAUUUCUUCUUUCUAGAAUAAGCACUUCUCUCGCACAAGUCGGAACGGUAGCUGCUGCUUUUGAAUCUUCAUUGGUUUUUAUUUUCUGCACUGCUUUUAAUCUUCCAAUUAUAUCAUUGCCUUCUCCUUCCUGUUCAUGCUGCUACUCUCUUUUUCUGUAUUAUUGAUUGCAAAGACAAUGCGGUGUAUCAGAUCAGUUCAAUAACCUGUUUCUAGCUGCAUGUUCCUGAUCUGUAAUUAAUCUGCGAAUUGCAAGCCUGACGUGCUAUUGCAAUUUCUAUUCAGUCCAAAGCCAGCAAUAACAUAUGACGCAUUAGUAUCAUACAGACGCCCUCCCAGACUUUGUCUGGAUGAUUUAUUCUCUUCGUAUUUGCUAUUUGUUUAGUGAUUUCCUCAUUGAAUUCCCAAAUACUCUCGUAUAUAUAUAUAUUUUUUGGUUUUUCGAUUUCGAAACACAUGCAAUAGCACCAGUUACAUUUCUGAAUGCAACUUUAGGUCAACCUAUCAGUUUAUGUGUAUUUCUCGAGUUUAGGUAAAAUCGCACUAGACUUUGAAAUGUCCAUUUCAUCCGCUGCUAAUCUUUUAUUUAUUUAUUUUUGGCAUGUUGGAGAAUUAGCGAAAUUGCAUCCCUAUUUCCGAGAGGACUUUUUCUGCAUUUGAACGGCUUUUGUCUUUGAACCAACAAUGGUAAAAAAGAAAAUGGAGAAAAAGGGGAAUUUAACUUUGAAGAGGAAAUGAAACAAAGACAUGAAAUAAAUUGAAUUUAAAAAUUUUAUGUUGAAUUUGAAUUUACAAAUAAAAUUUAGAAUGUGAUCAUAAUUUUAAUUCAAAUUUGAAGUAAAAUUUAACUUUAAAAAUAAAUUUAAAAAUUAAAGUUAAAAUCAGAUAUAACCUCUUAAUUAAACUCUUCAUUUUUGGUAACUACCGAAUUUUUUGAACUGAAGUUAAAAAAGUAAAAUUUAAUUAUAACUCACUUUAUCAGGCCACUUUUAUAAAGUGGCUUCCAUAUACAUUUUCGUAAACUAAGUAAUUGAUAAGACGUUACUUUUUAAAAGUGCCAUUUUCGAUGCUUUAUCUUCAGCCAACCAAACAUGUCUUAAGAGUCAACCAUCAAUAGUAUGGUCAAAAACCGACUUUUUAGAAUUGAUUCGAUACACAUAGUCCACAUAUCUGAGGUUCCACUUAUUCAAUUCACAGAGAUAGAAAUGAUGUUGGCCAACAUUUACACAUUCUAGCGGUGGGUUUCGACUAAUUCAUGCGCAUUAGAUCUCAUUUUUAAGGGCUAAGCAGUUCCAUCCACCAGGCAUAGCCCAUCAAGGCGAGGAAAAUCAAGAAGGAGAAACCCGAGGAACCAACCACAAAGGGCCAAAAGAGGCCGUAAACAUGGUAGAAACUGCACGGCAAAUUCAUCGUGAAAGCCGAUGCGAUGUAUGUCUCAAGAGCUAUGCCGAAGGAUAUCACCGCUAGUAUCAGCUGGAGCUGAAUAAGUUCGUUACGCCGGUGGUCGAGUUGGAUGUUCAUGUAGUCCUCCGUGUCGUCGAUAUGUUCGCGAAUCUGUUAAUCCGAUAACAAGGAAGCAGGGUUAAGAAUGAUUAUAAACACGAAUAAGAGCACUUCAGUGAGAGUAAAAUCAGAGAAUAAGUAGCUACUCACCAACAGGAUCUUGUUGCGGGUUCCAUCCAGCUGCAUGAAAUAAGCCUCAAGCAACAUGUCCAGAUCCUCCACAUCAUGAUCUACGUAUAUACUUGUGAUAAUGCUUGCAUUACUCUGGAAAUUAGGGUUAUGUUUUGCGCUAUCUGUUCCAGCUGCAACAAUGCUAUUAGAAGCCCCAGAAGCCGUCAAGGCUUCGAAUUGCUGAUUCUGAAUCUGCUUCCUUGUUAAGCACAGAUGUGCCAUGUCUUCAUGAUCAUCUAAAAGAUGCUCAAUUUCAUCCUUAACCUAGCAAUCGAAAAUAUGCCGUGUUAACUUAAGGCAAGAUAAAUGAUUUACAAGCACUGUUAUGGCACUUUAGGGAUUAAAAAGAACACACAGAAAGUUGAACAAAAAUAACAGAAGAUGACAUACAUGAAAUGUCGUAAAAAGAUAUCCGGGAUAGCUACGAAAUGCAGACAAUAACAAGUUCACGCUUUUCGUCGAAAAAGAAAACAAAUUCGUGCCAUUACCACCGAAAGAGCAAUAGCUAAUAAAGGCAGCAUCCAAAGAUUACCUUCUGGAGACGUGCGAGCAAACGAGUAAGAUCGCCCUUCAGGCACCGCACCCUCUCGAGAUUCUUGUUGCUCACCUUCUUAGUUAGUUCAUCUAAAACAGGGUAGGCAGCUUUCUCGAGUUCAGCAGUCUCUGCGUCCAAGCAUGAGCAGACGACAUCCAGCGCAAUCUCCAGCACCUGGAACUCAAACGGCAGUUCCCGCUCGAUUUCAGCUGCCUCAACAGGAUUCUUCAUAGAGAAAUGUUGUCUCAGUUGAUCGACAAAAGGAAGGACUUCCUGAGACAGGGGAUCCAGCAACAGCACUUCUUCGGCAGUAACUACGGCCCUGAUGAAUUCAAGAUUCACAACCAUAGCUCUCUCCCGGGCUGAAACCGAGAAAAUAAAGGUGAGCAAAAUGAGGCAUGGAGAAUUUAAGAUCGCACAUAUGAGCGAUAGAUAGGUACCUCUACAAGCAAAAAUGAGUUAUUAACCUAAUGCAAUUCACAAUGGUAUUAUAUGUGUUCGGAAUAUCUGUUUCCUGCAACAAUAGCCUUAUCUGAAUUGAGUAAAAGUCCUCAAUUUAUGGCUUUUUUAUGCAAGAAUUGAGUUUUGGAAGGUAUGUAAGGAAAUUUGGAUUUUGCAGGAACUGAGCUUCAAAUUGUUCCAUAGAUGUGAAGAUUUUGAAUAAUAAUAAUAAAAAAAAGGCUCGGAUUGAAGGGUGUACGAGAGGAGGAGAAGCUCACCGAGAAUGUUGGAGGAGUAGGAGAAGAUGGGGCCGAGGAUCCGAAGGUCGCGCGCGGGGAUCCCCACGCGCGCGACGAUCGCGCCCUUGUCGAGCUCCACGAUCUCCGAGCGACCCGCGCGGCCGAGCCGCAUCCACAGCCGCGCCCCGCCCUUCCUCUUCGCCCCCUUCGCCGCCGCGGGGGGCGUCUCCGCCGGCGCCGGCGCCGGCGCUGGCUCCGAAGACCCUCCGCCGACGCCGCUCCUCCCGGCGCUCGACGCCGAGGUCGGCUUCGGAUGCACCGAUCCCCGCCCCGAUCGGUCCUUCUUCUUGGCAGAGGCCGCGGCGGGGGAGGAGGAGGAGGCGGAGUGCUUGCGCCGUCGUCGCAACAUGGCGGCGGCGGCGGCGGAUCGGGAAGAGGAGGAAGAGAACGGUUAGGGUUAGGGUUUGGGGGAGGGUUCGGCUUCGAUGGCGUGGGUUGUUCGAAUACUCCCUCUCGGCGAUCGCUACUCCUCGAGUAGGGCAUUGUGAGUAAGAAUUUAAAAAUGGAGGUGGCGGGGAUUGAGAAGAGCUUCUUCUUCUUCUUCGUCGUCUUCUUCUUCUUCUUCUCCGGAUGUUUACGUUCCACGUACAAACCACCCAGAGAGCGCCCUCCACCCUAUAAUGCCACUAAAUAAUCUUAAUUUAUUAUAUUUUUUAACUCGAAUUUUAUAAAUUAUUAUAAUCUAGUUAAUUUAAUCUAAGUUAAUUAAUUAAACAUUUAACGUAUUAUUCAUGUGAAAAUAAUAUGAUUUUGUAUGCAUUAUUACGCUGUCAAUUAUAAUAUUGUCGUCUGACUUUUAUACCAGUAGAACGUCAAUAUUUGAGCAAUUAAGUUGAUUUGUGAAACUUAAGCUUAAUUAUUUAAAAAAUUUGAGUAAAAAUUAUAAUAAAUUAAAGUUUAAAGAUUAAAGUGUUACAUGCCUCAUAUUUUGAGGACAAAUCAUGUAAUUUAGCUUUUUUUUUUUGUCCUUAAAACUUAUUUAGGAGUUGGUACACGCUGUUUUUUUAAGUGACAAAUUUUUGUUUGUUUUGGUAAUAUAUUGCGAAUCAUUGUCACCAAAUUAAAUAUAAUCAUUGUCCUUAAAUUAUUACCGACCGUCCCUAGAGCAAGUGGCAAAGGGUUUGAUGGUUGGUACCCGAGACCCAAGUUCGAAUCCUAGUUGAUUCACAUUUCUAGCUAAGUUUAUUUCUAAAUGAAAUAAACGAAGCGGGUAGCAUGCUACCUAUUUCUCAAAAAAAUAAAUAAAUAUAAUUAUUUUAGGAACUCAUUGUAUUUGUGGCGGAAUGAAUUUGCACCAUAAUGUUGUUAAUGAUCAUGAGCAGUGAAGAUAAAAAUGGAAUUUAGCUACAAAUGGUGAAUCAUUGAGGUCUCGGGUGAAAUAAAGGAAAAAAACAAAAACAAAAGGAAGGGAUUAUACCCCACAACCAAAACAUGUCAUCUAGUGCUGCAAAAUUCGGUCAAUUUUUUUUCAACGUCUCAAAUUCGUCUAACAGUUUUUAAAGAAUCCAAAGAUUGAUUUCUAAAUAAUAAUAAUAUAUAUUUUUUUCUCUAACUCAUCUAUCAACUAGCUGUUUACUUUAACUAGAUCUUUUGCUACUGGCCAAUAAUUACACUUUCCUAUGGGCUUUUUUAUAAAAUGAUCCUCCGAAAACUCGAAAUUAACAAAAUGAUCAUGCCAAAAUUUUAUUUAUAAAACUAAUCUUCUUUUCGCCACCCCUUUCUCAUUGGGUGUUUGUAAACACCCCUAACUUUGACUAUGGAUUACUGUAUGUGGAGGCGCCUUUCAGGACUUACAAAGGUGUUGAUAUAUAUGAUUUAAUCAAAUAAUAUACACAAGGUGAUUUAUUUUGUUAUAAAAAAUAAUUUAAAUGUCGAACUUGCUAUAUUAGUCUAGACUAGAUAUUUGACCACACUUCUAACGUGUAUUAUAUAAGAAGAUUCAUAUUGAAUAAAAAUUACUAAAUAACUUAUUUCAAUAUAUAAGACUACGAAAUAGUCUGACAAGAUAUUAUCCUUAGCGCAAGUGGUAAAGAAAUUAGUGGUUGGUAUCCGAGGUUCCAGAUUCGAAUCCUAAUUAAUUCAUAUUUCCAGCUAAGUUUAUUUCUAAAUGAAAUAAACAAAACGAGUAGCAUGCUACCUAUCUCUCUCUCUCAAAAAAAAAAAAAUCCCUAAUCUUAGCACAAGUAGACCGAAGAAGCAAUUGGUCAACGUCAAAUGCUAUGUUUUAAUUAAUAUUGAGACAAAAAAUUUGGUCAACAUUUUUUUUGGCUAAAAUAUAUUCUAUACGGAUAUCACGAUUUGCUAUUCUUUUUUAUUUGUCAUUUUAAAAAAAUUGUUAGUUGUUACAUCUACUAAAAAAAAAUUUAAUUUUACUUAUAAAGUAAGCGUUAUCUUUUGAAAUUAUAAGUGCGCUAAGUUAUUUCGGUCUACUUUGAAGAGAAUUGAGGUCGUUUUAUAAUAUAUAAAAAUCACAUUUUCUUUAAUAGUUAGGUAUUAAACUUCAUCAUGUGCAUAAGCUCAUGAAGCGUUUUAAGUGCAUGGACCAAGAAGCACUCCUGGGACAGUACAGGGAAUAUCCAUACAUUUGACCCAUUUCAUCAACACCGUUGCUAGUGAAAGUGAAACAUGUUCUAUAAUAGUUGUAUAGAGUGCAAUUAUUUUUGUAUUUCAGUCACUAUAAUUGUAGUUAUUUCGAAAAACUUGAUUUAGUAAUUAAUAAAUGUUUUUUUUUAAAGUAAGUAAACCUCUUGUGGUCUCAUGUGAGAGUAUCACUAUAAUAGAAGGCUAAAAAAAUAGGCAUAGCUUCUCUAUCGCCAUCCAAAAAUCUAUAUUAUAGAAACUCCUUUUGUCCCUCUUGUGUAACUUAUUAUCUCAAACGGUGUUGACUUUGCCAACCAAUUAAUUUAUAACUGAAUAUUCGUGAAGAAUUAUAAAAAAGUCAAACUACUAUCUUUACAUUUCUAUGUAUUUAAAGAGAACAAAGAAGAUGGAGCAGCAUAAUAAAAACAAUUAAGCCUUAUAUUAUAGAAACUCAUUUUGUCACUCCUUUCUCCCUUAUUAUCUCAACAAGUGUUUACUUUUCAAACCAAUUAAUUCAUAACUAGAUAUUUGCGAAGAAUUUUAUGAACAUGUCAAACUACUUAAACCUAUCGCAGGUUUAUCUAUUUAAAGAGAACAAAGAAGAUAGCGCAGCAUAAUAAAAACAAUUAAGGCCAGUUUGGAUGUCAGAAUAAAUUAUGUAUAUUCUAUUUGGUAUACAAAUUUUUCUAUUGUGAUUAAUAGCUCAAAAGUGUUUUCAAAUGUCUAAAUUAGAACAUCAUAUUUGACCUUUAAAUUAGUUUUUCAAAAUAAAAUAAAUCAUUUCAGAAAUGUAAAUACUAUCCUAUCAAAUUAUGAGUAUCAAGAUAUUUCAAUAAGUAAAAUUUAAAACUCCUACGCUUUAAUUACAUUAAAAAAAGAUUUUAGGGACAUCCAAACAAAGCCUAAGAAUUUAAUGUCAUUGCAACUCAUUUACUAAAUGUAAUUAUUGACACAAAUGAUUCACCGAGUUGGUAAAUAAUAUGCCUCUUGGGCUUAGACGUUGACGCACGUGCCAACUUCGCCGCAGAAACCAUGAGCAUAUGAGUAAAAACUAUACAGAGUUUAAUCUAAGUUAGGGUGCAGUGGCCCAUAGAUAACAAGGAGGAUCAAAAAUCAAAAAUGAACUUAACAUGGCAAUCGUGAAAUUUAAAGCUAGUAAAAGCUACAUUACAAUCAAUAGCUGAAGAAACAAGAAAAAGAAUUUACAAAAGAAUAGCUCAAACUGCACAAGUGUCCUCUGAAACCCAGAAAACCAAAAGAGGAGGGAAAAAAGAGCAUCAGCAGGUACAAUCAAAAGGCAAUAGUAACACCUCUCCCCCUAAUCAUUGAUUCCAGCGUCGAAAUUCUUAAAAGAUAAGCAUUUUGAUACUCUCGCCGAAGAAGAAACUCCCUACAUUAUUGUACAGUUGCAUUUUGAUUCCAACUUCGGGGGCUUCAUACUGUCAACUUUCUUUGGAACUUCACUAGAGAAAGGCGCAGAACAAACCAAAUUCUCUGCAUUCUCUUGUAAAUUCGAAGAUGGUGUUUUCAUAUCCGUUUCCAACCUUUUCCUUUUCACCACGCAGUUUUUGGGGACACAUUUGGCGGAUUCUGUGUGUAAAUUGUCCUGUGUAAACUUUCCUAGAAUAGUAACAGUUGGGCGAGGAGCCUCCAGUGAGGUCAGUUCCUUUUCCAUACCAAUGGUUGCAGCUUUAUACGCAAGAUCGUGAAUGAUAGAACUGCAGAAGAGUACAGUGUCGGUUGCUUCUUCCAAUGUGAAGCUUCUCCGGAUUUGUCUCCUCGGCCCUUCAGCCAUAGUAGUUGACUCUUCUGUAAGAGUUGAAGGGAAAGUUACAUACUACAACCAUUUCCAUAUGGGUAUAGACAAGAAAGGCAGUGAUGACUAAUAUGGAAAUAUAUAUAUGUUUGGAAACUUUUUUCGACAAAUUUAUAAAGGAACCAUGAUCAAGAGAAGAUCGAACUCAAGAAGCAUUAUAUAAAUAUGUUAUAAAGGAUCAUUAUCGAAAGAGGUACUUAGCGAAAACUGAAAUUUCAAGAAUAUGGUUAAUCACAUUCAAUUUAAUACAUACCAUUGAUGUUGUGAGGAGCCUUGGAAAUGUUAGAUUCCUCUGCAGAAAGCAACACAUCCUUCUCGGAUGUGGUCGAAUCACAAUUUUCACGCGACAUAUCCACGUUACUGAAAUCCUGUGAUUGUUCAAGCUCUGCUUGUGAAUUCUCAAGAAUGAUGUGAUUACUUAAUUGCUCUAGGACAGCGACGGAAGAGAAGGAUGCCUCGUCAUGAUUCAGUUUUGUGCUUGGUAAACGACCUUCCUCAAGGAAAGAAGGUUGCGAGAUUAUACUUGAUUCUUCUUUAUCUGGAUUCCGAGAUCUCGUGUUACAUAAAACAUCUUGAUUAACAAUACUGCACGUAGUUUGGUCAUCAAAAACCAUAUUAUCUGGUGCUGGUUGACUUAUUUGUGAGUCAGACACGUUCAGAUUCAUACAAGCAUCCUCAGAAGCAGAUGUUUCUUGAUCAACAACGAAUGUUCCGACAGACGAACAAUUUGGAGCACUCAGCUCCGCAUUACCAAAAGUGUCAUUAAGUUCUUCAGUUGAUAACAUACUCAUUUUUGAGGCCCUUUUUCCUACAUCGUCUAUAUAAUCAAAGUCGUCAUUGAUGUCACUUUUUGGGAAAAUUGGCGCAGAAGAACUGCUAAUCGACAUAUCUGACACUGAACUGGUGCUUUGACCACUUAAAUAGUUUCUCUGUUGUGUAUGGUGAUGAACCCAAACUUCUGUCUGCUUAAAUGAUCCCAAAUCGACAGAAGAUGAAGCUGAAGAACUGCCAUGCUCUAUGCUGCGCUUCAUGACAGUCCUGUUAUUUCUCACAUAGGACUCAGAAAAAGGUAAAUUUGUGGCAACAAAAGCCCUUCCUUGAAAACUAGGCCACUUGCUGCUGCUUGAGCGUUGCAUUAGAAGUUCCGAGAUACCUUUACCACCAAUAUCAGUUUGGCUCUUCAUUAGGUUUUCCAAAAGGUUUUGCUCGCUUGUACGUGUAGUCGGUUCUAUCUGUUGGAUUCUGCCACCAUCCUGAGGUUCGGAACUAGUCACUUUGCUCUGACUUUGUGGUCCAGAACCAAAGUUAAUUUGUGGGAUUUCAUCUACAAUCUGCCCAUCUAAUUGCCCCUCUUUAAAUUCCGAUGAACUGCUUUUGGAUAGAAGUACAGUUGACAAUUCACUGUUCCUUUCCCGAUGCUCAAUAAAAGCAUCAUUGCUAUCUCUUGCUGAGGAUUCGAGAACUGGUGGAAGUUGCACUUCACUGGAUCUUUCAAGUACAGAUGGCAAUUCGGAUUGAAUUAUCGCAUUCUUAUUAAUAAGUGAAGUGGCAUCAGGUUCCGCAGCAACGACUCCACCCUUCUCAGAACAUUCUUGACAAACAUUUGUAUCACCAUACAUUUCCACAAUGCUAAAUUUUUUUCUACAUAUAGAGCAAGUUACUGUUUUUCCGCAGAUAUCAACUUCAGUGGCUGUUACUUGAUCAACAUCAACUGCAGCAUUUUCCUGGUCUUCUAAUUUGUCUGUUUCCAUGCUGUUUAGAGUCUUUACUGUAGAGAUACUGCGAUUUGUAUGUUCAUUAUUAAGCUCAUCCACCUUGUCAAAGAUAAAUACUUCCUCUUGGAUAUCAGGAUCUUCUGUCUUUUCCCAACCAUGUUCAAUAUAAGGAGUGACGGCAGGACCAUGAUCAGCGCUAGCAGUGCUGUUUGCUGUGAAUGACGAGUUCUUUGAGAACAAAGGAUGCUGCAUAGUAUCUGUUUUCCCAACACCAAAUGUAGUGGCAGGAACGCUAGAUAAAAGUGGCCUGAACAUAUUUUGAGGAGCUUUUCUUUGUUCCUAGAGAAACAUAAGUAGAACAUCUACAUUAAGGAUGUUAAAUGGUUUAUGAAAAAUGACAUUAAGAACAAAUCUCGUAGAAAGUAAAUAAGAUAAUGCAAGAAUUCAGUAAUUCAAGAAAAGAGAAAAAUAGAUGAAACAGCAUAAUAAACCCUACCAUCAGUCUAAGUGCAGAAUCGAAAGAACUUUUUGGUGCGGAACUAGCAGAAGAGUUUCUUGUCGGUUUUGAUGAUAGUACAGCUGCUCUGCUAUGCAUCUGAACAGCAAUUUUUCUUGUAGAAUGGUUGCUAGAAAUUUCCACGGGAACAGAGUGCAGAGAGUCCACUUCAUCAUCACCAGAGGAUGUGACAGAAGCUCUACUAUGCGAACUUAAACGGUCUCGCUCAAGACUAUGUGAUGAGCUGGCACUUCUAGUUCUAGAUGGAGUUGGCGACAUCGACUGUCUUCUAAAUUUUGAACUCGAACCUGUCCCACUUCCAGAUGCAGGGGACAAACCCCUUGAACGUGAUACAGGCCGGUCUGGAAGAACAGUUCGAAGAUUUAGUGGUGCAUCUGAGGAGAAAUGAGGAAGACUUGAUUGCCAACUUUGAAAUUUUGGUGAAGCAGAAUUUCCACGACUAGCUUUUAUGGGGGAGGUUCCUCUUUUCCCAGAGGAAAGUGCUUGACCAGUUGAACUGGUGCUUGAAAUGCGUAAAGUGGGAGUUGAAGACCUUGGUGUUGACGACUUAGUUGGGGGAGUGGAAGGUCUUCGUGAUGGUGUCGAUGCUCGUACAGAGGGAGACGGGCUAGAGCGAGAAGAUGAAGAUGGUCUUGUUCCUGGAUUUACUACACUACUAUUAGAGCAUGGAGAUGGGCUUAGUCUGCGUGGACUUGUGCUGCUCCUACUUGUCCUAUGACCCUUCUCAAUCUGUCAGCACAGAAACAUAGAGCACCCAUGGUAAAAAUCCCAAACAAACAAAUCACAGUAGGCUGAAGUGUGAAGAACGGAUGAUAAAUAAUUGAUCAUUACUGUAGAUGAGCUUGAAAGCGGUAUAGGUUGACUUCGUAGCCUGCCCCUAGGGAGCUGGCUAACUGAUCGGGGCUCUUCAUCAUCCAACGAAGGAAAGAGUGGAGUAUCAGGGGGAGUCAAAAGCCUGUAACGUAAGAAGAGAUAAUCCUUUUACUUCUGUAAAACAUCAGUUUAUCAAAUUGAAGCACAGUUUUUCUCUAUGCAGUUAACUGAGUUCACUUUAAGGUGAAUGCAUAUAGCGUAGAAUCAGUGCAAAUUCUGAGUAAUUAAAAGCCUGGUAACACUUCACAUAUUCUAAAUAUCACACGAAUGAACACGAUUUUAAUCAAAAAGGGAUCAUGCAUCAUAUACAUCUAAAAAGUACUACAGCAAGAAUAAUAACUCUCAGAAGCCUGUUCUAGAAGGAACUCACCAGUCAUAGUCAUUUUUAUCACCAUCUGCAUUAAGCAGAUCAUUCCUAUCUCCUCGAGCUGGAAUAUUGAUGCCAAGCUUGAAAUCCGAAAAGUAUCUCAGUUUCGCUGAUAUAUAAGAAGCCAGGAAAAAAGGAACAGUAAAUAUCCAGCAAUAAGAAGUGCAAUUUGCACUGCAGGUGCAGGUCCCCAACCUUUCAGGGAAGUAUCGAUUUGGUCCCUAACCUCCCAGUUGUCACAAUUAGGCUACCCUAUCAUUUGCAUGCUGUUGCAAUCUAACCCUUUCAAUUUAAUUCCUCCACAAAAGUGGAUGAGAGCCACAUACGAAAAGAACAAAGUUACAUGCUUGUUAGAUGAUGAUUAUGCUGAUAUUUCUAUCCAACUUGAGAGAUUACUUUAGCCAGAAGAGUAAGAUUGCUAAGAAAUCUAAAGAUUAGGGCCUCCAAUUGUAGCUAAUGAAAGAUCAGGGGCUAAAUUAAUAAUACAACUAACAGUUUGAGGGCCCCUGGUGUGUUAUACCCAAAUAAGAUUUGAGCAAGAAAAAAAAGAAUUGAGUUUGUGAAUACUGAAUGGGUACAGGCGUUACAUAUGGACUCAUCAAAAUCAUCUGAUGUGUGGAGCAAGAAGUUACUCCUUUCUCGAUUCUGCAUAUCGGUGAACAAGGCAAGAUCAUCAUCUUUUGCCUUAACGGCCAGUCCACUCUCAAAGCUGAGACCCCUCCUAUGCGUAGUCGCCGGCCUGCGAUCCCUACUGGGGGAGAACUUCAAUUGGUGUGAUGGUGGCAUCUUUCGCAACCGCACGAAUCAGCCCCCUUUAACGGAAAACUUACUAGUCUCCUCCUCCGUCACAAACCACAAAUCCCGUGAAGUUGUAAUCUUGCACCCAGAAUGAGCUAUCUAGCAAUUCCGAUGCCAUGACCUGUAAAACAUAACCGCGAUUAUUGCUCCAAGGUAAGGCAAAAGGCAUGACAAAAAUAACGUAAAUAUGAAAGAAACAUACAAUAACCUGCAAUAUAAUUAGGCCUUCAAUUUGUUUCCAAACAUUCAGUUGGUUUUCGCUCCUUUCAACAAUUAUUUUAAGAAUUUGCCCUUUCAAACAGAUAUUUUCUAAUCAAAAUUAAAAUUUGAAAGGUCUCAUCACAUCUCAGGCAAACUACGGACCAAAGCAACGAACCAAAAGACCAAAACAGUUAAAAAUUGGAACUUUUACCGACCCAUUAAACAAAACCACUAACCUACGCAAGCAGCGACAAAAGACUAACAGUAAAUUGUAGUGAAUUACAAAAAAACAGUAGCGAUUCUGUACCCAAUUGCAGUAAAAAUGCUCACCAAACAACCAAUUCUCUCUCGCAAACACCAAAGAGAGUUCCCAACUCACCAUUCCCACACCACAGCAGCUCCCGAUCUCCUCCACCGAGCUCCCCGCGCCCCCUCCUCCCCCUCCCCCCGUCCCCCCUGCGGGGGGGCCGCCACUUCCUCCUCAAUCCACAAGCCCGAGCACCGCGAGCGCGAAUCCCCAGGCACUCGGCUCCGGUAGCGGGGAAACCGCGAAGCGGCAAGGGGAUCGAGCGCGGGGGUGAAAGGGUUACCAAAACCCUAGCUCGUCAGAGUACAAUUUGCAGCGGUAGGGUUAGCUUUACGAACAAGAAGAAGACGACGAUGAGCAAGAGGACAACUAGGGUUUCCUCUCUCUCUCUCUGUCUCUCUCUCUCUCUCUUCCUUUUCCCCUCUUCGCUAUAACUAACGUUUCCUCGAAGGAAAGCGCUCUCACUCUCUCUCUCUCUCUCUCUCUCUCUCAAACACAGCAGAGUUUCGCAGCUUUUUGCUCGCUUCUGCUCUCUUCUGUAGCGGUUUUCGUAUUUCUCAUUUUAUUCAUUUAUUAUUUAUCGGCUAACUUAUACUUUUAGUCCUUAAACUUAGUAUGUUGACAUUUCGGUCCUCAAAUUUUAUUGAUUAUAAUUUUAAAGAUCAAAGUUUAUACAUUAUUGUAAUUAAGUGUUACAAUCUAAAUUAGUUGAUAAAAUAAUAUAAAAGUGACGUGAUAUUUUAAUUAUUAUUAUGUUAUUAAUUAUAAUACUGCUACAGCACUUUUAUUUAAACGACAUAUUAAUAUUUAGUUAAUUAAAAAAGAAUGUAGAAUUUAAUUUUAAUAAUUCGAUCUAAAAUUAUAAUAAAUUAAAAAUGUGGAUACCUAAAAGUCACGUUUCUUAUAGUUUGGGAGAAAAGUGUAAUUUAGCCUAUUUAUUUAUUUAUUUUAUUUGUAUUUUAAUUAUUGCGGCUAUUCGGAUAGAUGACGCUGAUUUUACUGAAAUACCCUCUGAUGGGCAGGGAAAUUACGUGGGUGAUUAACUGAUUUAGCGGGGGAUCUGUGGAUCCACCGUGUCCGACUCUUGUCUCACACGUGGUGGUUCGCAAUUGGAUGAUUAAUAAACGAAAUCAAAAUUCUUUUUUUUUUUCCUGCAUUUUGUGCUGUGGACCGUAGUCAACUGUACCUUUGAGUUAAUUUAUUCGGUUUUAACUGACUGUUCCUAGAGCAAAUGGCAAAAGGCUCGAUGGUUGAUACCCGAGGUCCCAAGUUUGAAUCCUAAUUGAUUUAGAUUUCCAACUAAGUUUAUUUCUAAAUAAAUGAAAUAAAUGAAGCGGAUAGCGUGCUACUUAUUUCAAAAAAAAAAAAAUCAGUUUAAAUUUCAUAUGUUGUUUGGUAUUUUAAAUUAUGUUGUAUCGAAUAAAAUAAAAGAGUAAAAUUUCUAGCUGAUUUAAAAUUUUAUUAGAAAUUUCAUAAAUCUUAAGUUUCAAUCUAAGGUUCAGAGUUUUCAACUGGUGAGGUUUUUAGGGUUUAGGAAUACCUACAGACAUCGUCAAAGAGAAAAUACAAAAAAUAAAAAGGAACCUAGGAAAGAGAUGGAUCUCAUGGUAUAAGAGUAUUCGACAAGAUUUGCGAAUUUUAAUUCUGUGCAAUGCCAAUCUCCUAAAAUAGUUUCUUCGUUGAUUGGCAAUUGAUAAGCGUCAUUCGCUUCCGUUGCGUGUUAGUCUCGACCUAAAUUUUCAAGCAUGUCGAUUUGAUGAUGGACGCUUAGGUCCAAUUCUCAGAAGUUAUGACGUUGAACCAAGCACGCUGUUGCUUCAAUUUGGUGGUUGACAUUGGUGGUUGAUAUAAACAUCUUCAAAUUUCAACAUGGACCUGAUCCAAAACCUAAAAUCUCGGAGAAUAGCGGUCUCUAUAUUCAUGAAAAGAUUUGAUAUAUUGCAUUUGCAGCUUUGGUUGGAGCAUCACACUCCGCCCCAUGAGUGGCUUCUCUCCUUUUUCUCCGCUAAGACCGGUUUGUAAGGACUCGAUCAAUUUAGAUUUGUAAAACUUUUAAAAGAGCAUCGCACUUGAAUCUUUGAGCUUAGUCAAUCAGUUUCGCAAUAUUUUUCUUUUUGGUUUUUCAUAUAGAGAUCCUUUAAUGAUCAAUUUCUUCGUAACAAAUAUACGUAGGUUAGUCUAAGUUCGUCAGUGCCAUAUAUAAUAUAGCGAAGAAGGAUCUACUCUACGUAUACCUUUUUGUGUUGAUGUUUAUUUUGUUUUCGUGCUUUAAAAUUGAAGAAUUCCUUGAAUUGAUAAUUCGAUCGGUAGUCGUGUCUUCGGCGUCUUCUCGCCUACUCUUCACUGGAAAUGCAGCAUCAAAUGCAAACUUUGUUCUACACACAUCAUCUGAGCGAACUUUAGAGACGAACUCUUAUUAAUGACUAUAAAUUGGGCGUUCUUUUGUAAAUCCAUACCUACCUUUCAUGUCCGAAACAAAUCCAAAUCAAUUUUGUGUCAACCUCAUGAAAACGAGGUUGAUACAGGUAUAUCACCACCCUAAUACGUACAUUCAGAAAAGGAUCAUUCCUCAUUUAAAGGAUCAUUAUAGGAAAAGUUCGGAGUGAAUUUUCAAAAAUCCAAACCCGAACCUGAACCCGAAUCCGAAUUCGACAUAUUUUAAAACUCCGAACCCGAACCCGAACCCGAACCCGAACCCGAACCCAUAUCCAUAUUUCUCUUUAUAAUAUUUCCAAAUAUUUAUAUUAAACCUACAAUUUUAAAAUACAAAUUCAAAUACAACAUUAAACACACACACGCACAUAUAUAAUGAAAAAUAAUUUCGAAUUUGGGUUUGGAUUUGAGUACAAUCAAAAUCCAUACUCGAAUCCAAAUCGGUCGGAUUUCUGUUCUAGAUACUCAUAUUCGAAAUUAUAUCCAUUUAGUAUUAGAUAAAUACAUUUCAUUCAGAUUCGAAUUUGGAUAAAAUUUCGGAUAUCUAUAUCCAUCGACAUCCCUAGCUAGAAAAGAAUAACGUAAUGCAUGGAAGGUACAAAUUUUCAAUCAUUCCUUGUUUGUUUAUAAACCUCUUUCCUUGUAAGUAUUAUCUUAAAACCAGUAGGGGAGAGCUUUCAUUGGAGGUCAAAUCCUCUCACUCAACAUUCCAUUUGAACCACCAUUUGCCCAUCCAACAAGUCGAUAUAAAUUCAUGGUAGUGAUUGAUGUAUAAAUACGUGAUCAAAGAUGUAACACUACAUGCACCACAUGUAAGCGAAAGGAAAGUGAUGUUAAGUAAUUAGGUCAAUUUUACUAUACACAGAUCAGAUAUAUUAAAUCCAAUCAAAUUUAGCUAGCCAAAAUCAGAUCUACUAUAAUUAAAAAAGUGUUAUGACGAAUUGCGCGAAAUGCUUAUUUUGUCCCUACCAUGUUUAUUUAUUUAGAACUCCUAUGCACAGAUGCUUGACAAGAUCGCUUAGAGGGCGACGAUCGAACAUGUGUUUUAUUGAUCCUCCGAAAUAUGACCAAUAUAGUAAAAUCAAAGUUUUGAAUUAUUCAUAGAUUCAUCAAAAGCUCAUUUCAACUUUUAAUUAGUUACGCUAAAAACCGCUUCCUUUUAUUUUUUUUUUUUGAGGGCAUUCAAACUAUGUUUGUUGAUGAACUUAGAGAAUUGGUUGCAUAAAAACUAUCGAAUAAGAGCUUAAUUAAUUUCUACCACAAAGGGUAAGAGAAGGAAAAAUAGGAUAAGGAAGAAGAAGAAGAGGAGGUGAACUGUAGCCAUCUUUCAUAGUCCCCUUCCCCUACAUAAAGCCAAAAUUAAUUGGUUCGUGUCCAUUUUAUAUCUUGUGAUUUAGGAAAAUGUAUUCUACUCAAACAUCAUGCAUCUUCAUGUAGCUUAGGCCAUGAAAUUCUCUUUUGAAAUUCUCCAUUAAUUUGUUAUGGAAGCAACUAAUUAGUCUGUUUUGAGCACUCCUAAUAUUUUUUCCAAAAAGAAUCGACUUGUAAUUGUAGCUAUGGUUAGAGUAAAAAACUCUUUGUAGGGGUUGUGUCAUGCCCCGAGACCUGCCUUUUUGGUCGGAUUCGGGCGCGUCGACAGACCGCCGAACGGAUAGAGUCUUUCCUUUACGUUCAAGGUGUUGCAACGGUACAAUUCAAGUGGUUCCAAUCAGGAACAGAAUGCACAAACCAAUUGCAUAAAAAAGAUAUCAAACAUAAUUACAAGCUAUUACAGAUUGAUUAGAAGCCUAUUUUGUGACCAUUUUCCAGAAAUAAAAUUACUUUUUUUGCGACCAUUUUUUGUGGUUGAUGAGCACUGUAAAUGGCCUACAUGUACAUAUCUUUUUACCCUAUCAAGAGGAGAAUAACACUACUCUUUUCCACCAAAAAAAAGAGAAACAGUAGAUUAUAAGUAUACAAAUAAAUAAAUAUGAACUAUCAUAAAAACUCCCUCAUGGUAAAUAGAUAUAUUUGCCUGUUUUUUGGAACAAUAUUUCAUCUGAAAAGCAAAAGGUUAAGAUAAAACUAACAAAUAGAAGUACCGAAGUUUUCCACUAUGUAGCUCAUCAAAAAUUGACCUCUAGACCCUAAAAUAAACAUUUUGAAUUAGACUUCUACUAUACUUUUUUUGACAUUAUCACAAAAUUUAAAGAAAAAAGUUGUUAAUUAGUACUUUUUUUUGACAAUUCUAUACAUGAAAGAAGGGUAAAAAUUAUCAGUACAUAAUUAUUUUAUCUCAUAUUCAUUUACUUUUGUUGCACAUAUUAUAACAUGAAGUGUACAAUCCAACACCUUGAAAGCUAGCAAAUCACUUUAGAUAAAAAGAAAAAGUAAAAAAGAAGAAGAAGAAGAACUUAUCCAAUCCAUUAUCAAAAAAAAAAAAGGAUUGAGUUUUCUUUGUUUAUUUCUUGUUUCUUCUUUUCACUUUUUUCCUUUUCUUUUUUUUUAAGGUGGGACUAGUUUGGAAAUUUCCUAUGACAUGAGGGGGAAUCCUUUUAGGACUCAAAAGAAUAGCAUAAUGAAGAAUCUAUUAGAUGAAACAAAAAGGAUUAUGGUUUCAUUAAACCAUGCUUAACAACCACUUUAGCUUAAACAAUAUCUAAAGUCUCCAUUAGAUUCUUCAACACCCAUAAAAUAAUCACACAUAAUUGGCAUGGUCAACAAUACUUGCAACAUUUUUUCCUUAAUUUUGGUACCAUUUACUUGUUCCUUAUAUUUAUAUUCAUCCAUAUCUCAAAAGAGGUUAAGAGAAUAAUUAUAUAUAGAAAAAAAAUAUUAUUGGGAGAUGACCCAUGUACUUUUUAAGCAACCACCAUUUUGCUAGUUGAGAUUCUAUUUUAAGAUAAAGCAAUAAUGAUUCGGCAUUUAUUAGUCUCUUAGAUUGCUUUGCUGAUUAGCCUUCUACUUAAAAGAGUCAUAUAAUUAAUGUGUCUCUUCGAUAAUCAACAAUUCUCAGAUUAAUUAUACCAUUGCAAACUAAAGAAGCUACUCCAAAAGUUGAACCAAGCGCACGUUGAUGUACUAAAAGUGAAAAAGCUAAUUUUCACAUAAAAACACCACAUGUAUUUAAAUAUUUAAGAUUAUAAUAAAUAAGGAGUUAAAAAUUUUAUUUUACAAAAAAGUGGCUAUUUUUUAGGAAAAGCAUAGGACGGCCGCGCAAUAUUAUUAUAGUACAGGGACUAAGUUAUAAAGUUGGGUCCGGUUGGCUUUGCCAUUCUUUCUUGAACCAGGGCCGGCCCGGACCGGCCCGGAUGGACCGCUUUGGACCAGAGUUUGCAAAAGGACCUCGUUUAGGACCAAAUUUGGCCGGCCCGGCCCAAAGCGGCCCAUUAAUUAGGGUUUUAGCGGCCUAGCUCGAACGCCACCGAACCGCUCGAAGCGAUCAAACGAAGCGUCCGCAACCAAUGUUCUCCACCGUGCGAUCGCGUGCUCUCUCGUCCCUCCCAUGGAGGCUCCCGCUAGGGUUUCUCCGCUCCUCGUCCUCUUUCGCCUCCUCCUCUGCGUCGAAUCUAGGGCUUCUUGAGCUCGGCGAGGUGGAGAAGGUGCUCGGCGACGUCAAAGCCGAAGACGUGCGGGUGAUCCCCGUGCGCGACCAGUGCGAUUGGACCGAUUACAUGGUCAUCGCCACGGGGCGAUCCACGUGGCACGUGCGCAACAUCGCCCAAGCCCUAAUCCACAAGGCAGGUUCGAUUUCCUCAUCCCUGGUGUGUCGAUCGAUUCUCGGUGAUCCGGAAAACCCUAGCUCUUCAAUCUUUUGGUGUUGCGGGUGUGAUUUGCAGUGAUAAACAUGAUGAUAUAGCAGCUGCAAUUUAGUGGAACAGAGUGUAAAAAAGUUCAAAUUUUUGUGGAGAAUUCUUUCUAGUUUGAGAUUUGAAUGAAUGAGACCUGAUGCUACUGUAAAAUGCACCAAGAGGAGGCCAUUUUUAGAGAAGGAUGAUGACAUGUGUGACAAAUUUGAAGGAUAAAGAUCACGGCUAUACUAGCUCACUGGGUUAACUGGGUUCUCCUUUCCAGCUAGAGUUGAAGUGUAACCUUAAGGGUGCAUUUGGUUCGCAUUAUGAAAGAUUACUAGGAAUAAAAGAUAUCUAAGAAUCUUAUUCCUAUUCAUCUUAUUACUAAGAAUGUGGAAUUCUUGUGUUUGGUUCGCACGGUAAUAUUAAUUAGCCAUGUUAUUUAAUAUUACAAAAAAUAUACAAUUAAUUAAUUUAUUUAUUUAAUUAAUUUUAGAUAAUGUUAUCAAAAGUUUCAACAUCUUUUUAGAAAAAAGUGAGAGAGAGUAUAAGUUAGAGAGAGAGAGCAUAAUUAAAAAAAUAGAAAGAAAAAUAUAGUCGAAAUUAGAGGGAGUGAGAGAGUUGAAAUUUUAGAAAGAGAGAGAGAGAGAGAAAGCUUAGUUUAGAGAGAAAAAAAAAAAAGUUGAAUUUUAGAGAGAAAAAUAAGUUUAGAGAGAGAUAUAAGGUUAGAGUGUAAAGAAAAAUAAUAUCAAUUAGCUGGCGGGUAGGAAGAAAGAAAGAGAUUAGAUAUAUUAUGAUUAUCCCAAUCCAUUAAUAUGAGGAUACCCACCCUCCCUCAAAUGAAUGAGAUUAGUACUUUGGGGUGAUUCUUAUUCCCAAGUGAAUCUAAUAUUACCAACUAGAUUACUUAGUGCGUUUAGCCAAAUACCGUCAUAUUUUUUUAUUCACAUUGGAUUACUAGUAAUCUGUAAAAGAUAGCGCGAACCAAACGGACCCUAAGUUCAUCUAGCUGGUAAUGACAUAGAUUGCCACAUGUAUCCGGGAUUUUGGAUUACUAAGCUUCUUUCAUAGUUUUUUCUUUUUCUUGAUUGUUUUACCAUUGCAUUAUAGAUUUCUACUUUCUCCAUCUGGUCGAUCACAUAUCAGAAAUUUGUCUAAUUGUCGAUAUUCACAUGUAUAACCAAUUUAAUCAUUGUGGUCUUACUGUUUUUGGUCAAUUGGUAAUUAUCAGGUAAAACAGAAGCAGCAGGGGUCUGAACGAUUACUGCUUCCUAGCGUAGAGGGUCAUGCAGGUGGAAAGUGGAUUGUCAUAGAUUCUGGUCAGUAUCUCAUUCACGAAGUUGCUAAUGGAUCGUCGGCUUUAGUAGUAAUUGGCUGUUAACAGAUUAUAUUUUUGCCUUAAGAAAUGGAGAUCUUACUUGACAUGGUAUUCUGGUUUGUGAGCAAUGUGGUUCACCGUAGCAAGAUGUUAUUUUUAUAGAAAAUGCACUUUCUUCAGUAUUCGAUUCUUUAAUUUGUAUCUCCUUCUAAUCUUCCAGGUACAGUGAUUGUUCAUGCGCUUGAUGAGAAGGCAAGGGCAUACUAUAAUUUAGAAAGUCUUUGGACAAAAGAGAUGUCUCCCAAGAGUCAGAACCAGGUUUGUUUCGAAAGCAUAGAUUUUAAUUGAUGAUGAUGUAUACAUGUUGAAUUGCUUUUGUUAUGACCAUUGUUCAGUUUAAGGUGUUCUUCUUCUAUUUGAGUUGCCUAACGUUUUUAUAAAAUUGUCAAAUCGUUUGAAAGGUUUCCUAUGAUCUCUUCUUGUAAGGAAACAAGGAAAGUAUUCGUGCUUCUUUGUAGAGAUUUUGAAGAGGAAUUUGGGGUGGUGGUAUAGUGCUGUCUGCAACAUGUAUGUGAUGCGUUUGCGUUAUUUUACAGAGCCUCGCGCACUGAGUUCUAGCAUAUAAAAAGAAUCAAUCCAUCUUAAUUUGCUUAGACUCAAAUUAGUGUAGGGAUCUUGGUACAUUUUAUAGUAGGCUGGGUGUUUAAUUUUCACAAGACAAGCAAUUUAAGGGACUUGGUUGAAUAUUUUAGCGGACACUUGGACAUAUUGCUUGUGCUCUGUUUUGAUGUAUCCUGUUGUCCAAAAGCCACAGAAUUCUUGAACGGCCUUGAUCAGCUUUGGAUCUAAAAGCACACUAUUCGUAUCUUUCUCCAAUUUUCAAACUGUUUCCUUAUUGUUCUCUUACCGCCUUAACUACAGCUGACUUUAGAACCAGACAAUGUUUUAAUCGGACUACAUGUAUUGCUACAUCAUUUACCUAAUUUCCUGGUUUUCAACCUACUUAAAUGGUAAACCUAACAGCAUCAUUAAUUUCGUUUGCAGGAUCUAGAGAAAUCGAUUGUUAAGACUCGGCGAAGGGACAAAUCAGAGAAACCCAUGAAGAGUGUCUAAACAAAAGUGUGUGAUCGAAUUCCGCUCUUUGACGUGUCUGUUUGAAAACAGUUCAGCAGCACUCUCUGAUUUGUAUUGUUGUGGUUUCUUAACUGUUGGAACUUUCGUUGUACUUUCCUCUGUUUGAUUAGUGUAGAGGAUGGUGAAUUUAUGAUUUGCCGUGUUCAGUACAUACCAGUGCAUAUAUUCAGCUGAAGCUUGACCUCUUGAAUUCUCUUUCUUAAUGCACACACCAAUACACUGGAUAAAAUCAAAAUGUGAUUGAAUUCAUUUUUGUUUCUCAAGGGGUUACUGCAAAAUUCUUGUUGGCGCUUUUGGUGAUGAUUUGGUUUAUUAAUAAUCCUUUAUUUGUCGGAUUGAAAUUUGUAACUCAAACUUCAAUUUAUGACUCAAAACUUAGAAGAUGAAUAAUUUACGUAAUUUUUAGUAGCUGAUUAUGAGAGCAGAUAUCGAUUUUAUGCGUUGUGUUGUUCGUCUCAUCUACUACUGGAUAAGGAUACUCUGCAUUUCCAACUGUCUAUAUGAGGCAUAGAUUGCAAGGAGACCGAGAGAGAUAAGGUGGUUGAAGUGUACACACCUCUCUAUUAUAGACUUGCUGGCCUUUUGGAAAUUGGAAAAGUAAAAAGAUGCAAGUAUGGCUUUCAGUAGGGGAGCAUGUCAUUCUUCAUGAAAGGGACAAUGCAACAGAAUCCGUCAUACGUCUAGUUUUUAUGUUUUUUUCUUUUCUUUUCUUUUUUCGAUUGCGUGGCACGCGGGCAUCCAGAAUUUGAGUGAAUAGGAUAUCAAAGAGCGCAAUGUUGGUGUGGGGUAUAUUUAUCGAGUGUUUAUAUAGCGAUUCGUAGGGUAGGUACACGGAGUCGUGGAGAGGUUGGAACUGUCAUCCCUAAAGAUUGAGAUUGAACAUGAUUGGAUUUGAAAAUUUUCCAAGUGUCUCUAUCCCUCUCCGUGCGCGAGCAUCGCUCUCUCACUUUAUUCUAUCCACUUCAACUCCAUAUGCCAGGUAGGGUGUAAAUGAGGAGACGCAAAGUUGUGUGACUCUGUCCACUCAAUUCAGUCGCCCUUUACUAUUUUAUUCUAUCCAAUUCAAUUCCAGACGCCAACGCCAACAAGGACAUUAAAUUUGAAAAGAUAAAGUUGUGUGGCUCCGUCAACUCAAGCUAGUCGCUCUUCACUUUAUCAUAUCCAAACUCAAACUCCAAAUAUCACGGAGGGCGUAAAUAUAGAGAGGUAAAGUUGCGUGGCUUCAUCAACUCAACCCAGUCGCACCAGAGAAGCAAACCCUGCAGCCCAGAAAUCGUCCACAAGGGCAAAAGACCCCCAAUAUAGGACUAGCCAAGAUAUUAAUGCGCAAUUAGGCCCACAAAGAAUGGGAGAAGCCCAUAUUAGAUGAAACCAACUGACCACAGUGACAUUCUGCACACCCCGCCUGCCCGACUCGCAGCCGCCGGCAUUUUCCCGACCGUCAGAAGCUGCCGCCAGUGUAUCGAGGUUCGCCGAACGGUAUCGAUGUCUAAUGUAGAAUAAUAUUGCAUAAGAUAUCGGCGUAGCGUAUAAUUACACAUGUUUAGAUUUUUUUUGGAGAAAAAGGUAGCGCGCUAUCCGAUGGUAAGUAGUUGUUUCAUUUGGCUUAUUUUAACCUUCUCUUUAAUGGGAGUUGGAGGGCAACAUUUAUACGAAAACCAACCGCAUUAAUUUGCAGGUUGUAGGAAAUAUAUUAAAAGCAAACCAUAAGAUCUUCGUGAGCGGCACACGAACAAACAACGCAGCAAAUCAUUUUCAUUAAAUUUUGCAACUAAUUAGAUUAUUAGAUUAAAUGGAAUUUUUUACCCAACCUUUAAUGAUCCAUGUGCCAGAGAAAACUUUAUUAAUUCGGUAGAUUUAAAUAUAAGAAACAUCUAGGUAGCGUUUGGUUCGGAAAUAAGGAGGAGAAUAAGCCUUUGUUUCUCCCUUUAUUUUCAAACGCAGCGUUUGGUAUCCGAGAACAGUAGUUCUCGGGUUUCUGGAACUAGCUGGUAUAAGACUGGAACUGACUGGAACUGCUGUUCCAUCUCUUUCUUGGAACAAGCUUGUUCCCGAAUGAGUACAAGGUUAAUUAAAUCUAAAUUUAAAUUUUAAUGAUAGUAAAUUGUUAAUUAAUCUAAUUAAUAUAUUUGAAUUAUUAUCUAUCGCUUAAAUAAUAAAAUAAAUAAACAAAUAAUUAAUUAUUUAUAAUUAGAUAAUAAUAAUUAUUAGUUUAAUAAUUAUUAUUUCUUAAUAAUUAUUAAUUAAAUAAUAAUUAUUAAUAAUUAUUAUUCUUAAGAAAUAGAUAAUCGAUAUUAUUAUUAAUUUAUUAUUUAUAAUUAAUUAUUAAUAAUUAGAUAAUUAUUAUUUAUUAAUAAUGAUUUAUAAUUAAUUAUUAAUAAUUAGAUAAUUAUUAUUAAUUAAUUUAUUACUUAUAAAUAAUUAUUAAUUAAUUAAUAAUUAUUAAUAAUUUAUUAAUAAUUAAUUAAUUUAUUACUUAUAAAUAAUUAUAAAUAAUUAAUAAUAAUUAAUUAAUAAUAAUAAUUGAUAAUUAAUAAUUAAUUAUUAUUAUUAUUUAUAAUUAUUUAUUAAUAAUUUAUUUAUUAUUUAUUUUAAGUAAUAUUUUGAUGUUAAUUAAUUAGAUAAUAUAAUUUUAAUUUCAAAUUAUAACUUUUAUUCCUGUUGUUCCAAUUUAACCAUCCAAACGCUAUUUACCUUACUCCUAGGAACAACUUAAUUUUCAUCCAAACGCAAAAUUAAUCUAAUUCCUGCUUAUACCUAAACUUGUACCUAUUCCUGGAACAAGCAGUUUUUACUAAUACCUGAACCAAACGCAGUCCUAGAGAUUUCCAUAUGUACGCUAUUGGCACGAGUUAAGUGGCCAAUGAACACGGAGUAAACAUGUUUUUAGCACCACACAAAUCAAAAGGCUUUGAUUACCUAAAGUAUCAUUACACUGUUAGAAAAUGGAUUAAGAACCAGCUUAAUUAGCAUCAUUGAUGUAAAAAGUUAAAAGGUGCAGUAUAUAUAUAUAUAUCUAACGAAGCCCUAUAUGUAUAAUUUGUGCAAACAUUAAUAAUGUACCUACCAUACACUUAUCAAAAAAAAUAUCUCCUUGUCACGAUCAUGCUCCAAUUGUGGGGCAUUUUGUACAAACUGAACUUUCUACACUUGUCUGAUCCAUAAUAUAAGAGAACUACAUGCUUACAAUAGAAUAAUACUUAAAAAUAUGGCACAUUAGACUCUUCUAGACACUGGUGAUUAACUGUACCAUAGAUCUUUCCUCAAUUGUUCAUGUAUUUAUGUGGAAGGGCAAAAAUAAAUACAGAUAUAGGCAAGCACUUUCGAACAAUCAUCUAAAAACCAUCUAAUUAAUGGAUGUCUUAUUUCACCACACACAUAAACAGUAAAUUUCAUACGCGGUGUCAUUUGAUUGGACAACAGGAUUCGCGUAAUUUCGAGAAACAACUAUCUGUGUUGGCACACCUGUUACACAUUAUUGUUUGAUUGAACAUAGUAGAAGAAUGUUCACAAUCAGUGCUUGAUUGGAUGUACCAGAAUUUUUAGUGUUACUAAUUAAUUGGAUAGAAACAUAAUUUUUGCAAUUUCGCGGAACAAUUACUCACCACGGUGCUCCCAAACAGGCACAGAUCACAUGUAUUUAAGUUUUUAUGAGGCUUACAGCACAAAAUAACUAGGAAUUAAGGAGCUAAUUAAACAUUGUUAUUGAAAGUUAAAUAAAGAACUACAAGCUUAAUUGCACGUCUUAAUUAGAUUAAUUCUCACAAUUAGCUAUGAUCUGAUCUGAUCUCGCUUUAGUUUCUCUCCAACUACAUAAAUCAUGUGUUUCUUAAUUUAUCCCCAAUCUAAAGUUCAAAAAUUGUCAUCAUUCCAUGUAGCAUACGAGUAAGCACAGUUCGCGAUUUUUAACUAUUAUUAAUUUGCACAAAGCAAAGCUACAAAGCAAGAGUACCACUCCUUUUGCGUAGUCGCUGUUGCACUACGUACGUAGAAAAUACGUAAAAAAAAACCCCUCGCGUACGACGAAUAUUUACAACUACGUCCCUCCGACGAGCCUCUUUAUCCCCCGAGUAAGUAACCUCUCUCUAGUUUCUCUCUCUCUCUCUCUCUACUUUUUUUGGGGGGGGAANUGAUCUCGCUUUAGUUUCUCUCCAACUACAUAAAUCAUGUGUUUCUUAAUUUAUCCCCAAUCUAAAGUUCAAAAAUUGUCAUCAUUCCAUGUAGCAUACGAGUAAGCACAGUUCGCGAUUUUUAACUAUUAUUAAUUUGCACAAACCAAAGCUACAAAGCAAGAGUACCACUCCUUUUGCGUAGUCGCUGUUGCACUACGUACGUAGAAAAUACGUAAAAAAAAACCCCUCGCGUACGACGAAUAUUUACAACUACGUCCCUCCGACGAGCCUCUUUAUCCCCCGAGUAAGUAACCUCUCUCUAGUUUCUCUCUCUCUCUCUCUACUUUUUUUGGGGGGGAAGGGGGGAGGGGGGGAGGGGGUGUUUUCUCUCUCUAGAGGCAGAGGCUGAGGCUGAGCGCGGCUUUAACGUCGAGGCGCCACGUGUAGCAGCCCCCGUCCGAGCGCCACACGUCGCACGGCGCCGCGAGAGAGCCCCGACCCUUCCGGCGACACGCGUAGCGCACGCGCACGAGGCACGUGAACGCCCCACACGUGCCCCACUCCGGCACGUGCCCCUUCGUCACCAGCCCCACACGCACCUCCUCCUCCUCGUCGCCGUCGUCGUCGGCGGCGGCGUCGUCGUCGCCGGCGUCGUCGUCGCCGGCGUCGUCGUUGUCGGCGCCCGCGCUCUUUGCGGGGCCCACCACCAUCCUGCGGUAGGCCUCGUUGGUCCACGUCACCCGCUCCCACCGGUCCGACACGAACACCGGCGCCUCCUCGUCGUCCAGGGCGGGCCGCACCAGCUCCCGCGCGGCUCCCGCCUCCCCGUCGCGCCACGUGUCCACCACGCUCUCCACCGUCACCCACGACCCCGCCGGCCGCACCGGCCGCGGCACCACCACCUCCGCCGGCCGCGCCGCCGCCGCAGCCGCCGCCGCAGCCGCCGCCGCGGCGCGCAGCAGCCACCCCGGGAUCCCCUCCGGCGCCGGAUCCGGCGCCGCAGGGCCACCCCCCGCCUUCGCCGUCUCCGGCGACUCCGGCAUCAGCGGGAGCGUCACGAUCGCCGAGGUGUGCUCCGCCGAGGACGACGACGACGACGACCUCUCCUCCACCGUCGCCCUCCUCGGCCUCCGCCCCCUCCUCCCCCCCUCCCUCCCUCCGCCGCCGCCGCUCCCCUCCGGCGCCGCCGCAGGCGGAGGCGGCGCCGCCCCCCCACCCGCCGCGGGCUUCGGCGCGAUGGGCCGGAACCGCAGCAUUAUCCGGCCCACCCUCCACGCCACGUCAGCGUCCCCUCCGUACCUCGCGAUGCAACAACCCCCUCCUCUCCUAUCCAUCUCUCUCUCUCUCUCUCUCUCUCUCUGGCCCUCUUUACUUCUCUUUAUCCUUUUCACUCUCCCUCUCUCUCUCGAUCGCUCACUGCGGAGAACGAAGGGAGGGUUGCGUAGUGGGGUUUUAAAUACAGGGGGUGGUGGUGGACACGUGUCCGCGCCAGCACGUGUCGGGCGUGUCUGCUCCGCGGAGAUUGGCCAAUACGGACGCGUGGCGUCCAUCUGAUGCGGCAGCACGUGAAGGGCAGAGAUGGGAUUACGAUUAGGUACGGGGGUGGGGAAAAGAAGAAGGCGCCGUUGUCGGGGGGGAGGGGAGGGGGGAGAGAGAGAGAGAGAGAGAGAGAGAGAGAGAGAGAAAGCGCUGGCCAAUAGGGGAGCGCGGAGUGUACCCACUUUUGGCGCCAGGAGAGAACACGUACUCAGGGGCGCUCGAGCCUCGGAGAGCGCGACCGUGGGGCCCACUUUUAAAUACUAACCAUGCUUGCGCCCGGUGUACAUGUGGGCCCCAUGCACCGCGCCUCCGGUUUGGCGAUUAAUCUCAAUUCAUUCGAUAAUAUAAAUAAUAUUUUUAUAUAAAAUAAUUUUCUGGUUAUGAUUUUAUAUUAGUCCAAGACACAUAAAUAAAAGUUAAUUUACCCAUAUAAUAUAAUCAUAAGGGUUAAGACUUAAGAGGUGCGACUCAUUGCUAUAUUUAUACACCCGGUGCAUGCUAUAAUUUCGCCAUUGGGAGGUGGAGAUGUGGGGCCCACCUAAGAUGAGGUUUUUUUUUUUUUUUUUUUUUUUUUUUUUUUUGUUUGCUUUAUGCGGUAACGAGGGCGUCCAAUGAGGGGAACCGGUCCGAGACGAAAAGAGACACGUGGACCAAUGGGAGCGGGGGAAGGCGGCGUGGGUUGCUAUUAUUAGUGUCGAGGAGUAGGGGACGCGUGGACGCUGGGCGAUGGCGACGUGGAUCUCCGUGGAGAUUCGUGACGUCACCCCUCGUAACGGUUCCCGGGAGAUUGGCUUUUUCCUUCUGACGAAAAUGCCCUUGUGUACUUUUGAAUUUUCAAACGUACUAAGGGCUAUAGCCUAUAAGUGGCUGUUUGGUUUAUUUAAAAAAAAAAAAAUCAAAAAAGCAGUAUUAUCUGAUUCUUUUUUCCAAUUUUUUGCUCAUUUAUUUUAGAAAAAUUAGUUUCUUUUAAAAAUAGUUUUUUUAAAUUUCAUAGAAAAUUAAUCUUUUAAAUUUAAAAAAAUAAAAAAUGAAAACACUGAUUUGCCAUAAAUUUAGAAUUUGUUUCUAAAUUUAACAGAUGAAAAACUAAAAAAAAAAAUUUUAAUAAAACCCAAACACCCCUUAAGCUCCUUUGCUCACGCGACUCGAUCGGUUGCGACCCCCUAAACUCAAACAAAUUUAUCAAUUACACAACCAUUCUUAUCAGAUAUCAUGUGUAUAACUAUAUAAAUAUUUUAAAAUAUAAAAAAAGUCUAUUCUUUUUCUUUCAAUUUUGAUAAUUAAAUAUGACAAUUGUAGAAUAGGCUCUACCAAACUUUAGUUUGUAUUACUUUGUAUAAAUUAUACAAUAAGUUUUCCCUGCUUUAAAGUUUUAUAAGUUUAUAUAAAGGAACAUGGUCAAAACCAACUAUAUAAUUAGCAAUUUUAUUUGAAAAGAAGCGUUUAUGAAACUAUCUUGUAAAGUUUAGAAAUUUAUUUUCUAAAAUAAAUGUUCAAACAUCUGUUUGAAAAAGAGCUAAGGGUGUGUUUGGUUUCACGUAAAACUGUGUUUAGUGUUUAGUGUUUGGUUUGUAAGAAAAGAAAAAUAAUUUUUCAUGACGGUUGUUUGGUUGGAAGGAAAAGAAAAAUAGAUAAAACCUAUUUAAUAUAUUUUUAUUACAUAUAUAUUAUUAUUAUUAUAUAAUUAAUAUACUAUAUAUAUUAUUAUUAUAAUUUAUAUAUAUAUAUAUAUAUUAAAUAUAUUUAAAAUUAUAAUAAAUAUAUAUUUUAAAUAUAUAAGAGUUAUAUAUUUAAAAAUAUUAAUAAAUAAUUACAAAAUUAUAAAUGAAAUAUUAUAUGAUAAUAUUUCAAUAUAAAAAUAAAAUAAUAUAUAAAUAUAUAUUUAUAAAUAAAAUNGGUCUCCGUGCUACCAAGUUUUUUUCAAUUAUGCAGUUUUCAAAUCGACGAUCGGCUUCGUUAGACUUGAUCUACACUAUUAAAAGUAUUUGAAAAUUAAAUUUCAUAAUUUUUCGCCAUCAUUUAUCUAUCAAAUGAGUAGUCUAAAAAUGAACGGCUGAAAAUAAAAAUCUCAUAAAAAAUAAUGAUAAAAAACUUGAAUUUAAGAUCAGAGGUAUUGAUUUUACUCUAAAUAGUGAAAAGAAUUUUCUAUAAAUACUUCAUCAGAUUUUGAUUGUUUUACACCGUUAAAUUCACAAACGCAUCACAUCUAUCAUUAAAAUUGUUAAUUUUAAGACCUUUUGAUCACUAGCCAAAUGAUGUAAAAAAAUUAUAAAAUUUAGUUUUCAAAUACUUUUAAUAAUGUAGAUCAAGUCUAACGAAGCCGAUCGUCCAUUUGGAAGCCGCAUCAUUGGAAAAAUAAUUUGGUAACACGGAGGCCUUCGUGUUGUCGAUAGCCUACCAGCCUAGCUCUCUCUCUCUCUCUCUCUCUCUCUAUAUAUAUAUAUAUAAUGAGAGGGAGGUCCACUGUGGACCUCCGCUCAUGUGGUCCACGAGGCUGAAGCUGUCUCGUGGACCGCGCACGUCCGCUGCUCCCUUCCGCACCAAACGUCGCGCUUUUUCCUUCGCGCUUUUCGUUUUCCGUCGCUCCCCCGCGGAAAACAAAAUGGAGGAUUUUUUCCAAAUAUGUAAAACUAAGUUUCACCAAAAAUUUUAUUUACACCCAAUCAAACACUUGAAAAAUUAUUUUUCAACUGAAAAUUUGUUUUCAACCUAUUUUUACAUGGAACCAAACAUCGCCUAACAUUCAAAGGGAAACAACUUUUGUAUGCAUCGUUUAUAACUUAUUUCGCCAUCUUUAAAGAAGACAAAUAAAAAAUUAGCUUAGAUUUUAUAUUGAUAUAUUUUCUAAAGUUACUAGAAACCAAAAUCUAUGUGCUGUUAGGCAUAUCAUCAUCUUUUUAUAUUACACUUUUUUUUUUUUGACAUCUGCAUCAAACCAAAAAAAUAUUUACAUAAGGUGAUAGUUUUUCUUUUCUUUUCUUAUCUUUUAUGUUUUGAAAGGUAAAUGGUAGGUAAUAGCUAGUUUAAAAAUUAAAUAUGAUUCAAACAGAUUAAAAAUU